This 52420-nucleotide long non-coding RNA is filed under the name Populus trichocarpa (black cottonwood). RNAcentral describes it as "long non-coding RNA (PTRI_LNC003424)". The record is from RNAcentral. Lineage: Eukaryota; Viridiplantae; Streptophyta; Magnoliopsida; Malpighiales; Salicaceae.
UCAUUUCUUUAUUUAUAACAGUGAAAGUUUUCACCAGCAUCUCAACAGAAAUCUUUGAAGUUGUCACAAGCGAAGUCAUUGAAGCGGAUAGCAGCGAGCAAUAUAAACACACAUCAAUCAAACAUCGACGGCAGAAGAAAAAUAAGUGAUAAAAAAUGCAACAUUUUCAUGAGGAUGAAGGUAGGUGCUAAUUUUGGUGAGUUGUUUAUGCCAAAAAACAAAACACUUUACUGGCUCAGAGUCGCAGUAGCUCCACCCAGCACUACAAACCCUUGUCAAGUUACGUAAUGAUGGUAAAUAUACCUAGCUAUUUACAUAUACAUAGAGCUCAGUACAGUGUUAGAAUCCUAAAUUUGGGAAUCCUAAUCUACAUUGAUGAGAAUACAUGCACAAUGCAUUAAACAAUGCCAGCACAUAAACCAGUAGCUGUUUAGCUGUUGAACUGCUUAAUCCAGAAGCCUGGUAUAAACUUUCUCAGGCCUGCUAUAAACUUCAAGUUGUGGUCCCUUGGGCGAAAUAUAGAAGAACAUUGAUAAGUUACGAAGUCAUCACCAUUUUUUCCAUCAUAUAAAGAAAAGAAGAGAACUUUUUAUUGAAAAGAGAACAGACACCAUCAUUGUGAGUUUUAAUCUGCAUAAAAAAUCUCCUAGAUUGCAGCAGCAUACUUGAAGUUAAACAUCAUUAGGUUCCUUAGAGGUGCUACAAGCAUGAACAACACCAUGUUUAACCUAAAGACAACCAAUGUCUAGAACAACUAAAAAAAAGAGACAAGUUUUUCAUUUAAAUUGAAGUCAAAUGAUAGGCCUUCGCUCUACUCCAACAUGGGGUAUCUAUCAAAAACUAAAAGGAGCACAGUUUCGAUUCCCUAGAAACAAAUUCCAGGAAAUAUUCUUCACCAAACCAAACAUAUAAUUUAUCACAGCACUUGAAAUCCCAAAGUCAGAUCUUUGCAGGUUCACUUAGCUAUUAGAGAGGAUGGUUUAAUAAACAAUGUCAGCCUCGAAAGAAGAAAUCACAAAGAACCCACAUCUCAAAUGUCAUAGAUAAGCAUCUUAAGCCAGUUGUUGAAUCAUUGAAGGUUGAUAAUAUCACAAAUCACCGUGAAACAAGAGAAUUACAAAGAAACAAGUAAAAAUCCUCAUCUCCUUCCCCGCAUGCCAAUUUAAUCAAAUGUUCUCGAGAGAGAAAAACAACUUGCGAUAAAAGAUACCAUAUGUAAUUCUCAUACAGAUGAACAAAACAACGUUGGAGUAUUAUUAUACUACAUAAGGUCAUAUGUAUACCACGGCACGAGAAAGCUUAAUUAUAUCUCCAGAUGACCUAACACUAGGCAGAUUUCCCACACUUUCCAAGAAAAUAUUCAGCCGAAUUCCAGGUUUCGGAUACGAUUCAUCAACUAUUUUCACUGUGCAAAAAUAACGUGCAAAAAAUUCCUAAAAAUAUAAAAAUUUGUAAAAAUUAAAUACACACGCGUAUGCAUAUAUAAGAGAGUGGCUCAGAACAGACACCUUUAUAUGAGAAGUUCAUCAAUCUACUACCGACCACGAAAAAUUAAUUAGUUUUCUGGUAGCAGCCGUAAGUCCGGCCUUUUUUAUCAUCAUCGCCACUCAAAAAUCAGUAUUUUUUUAAAUCGAUAAAAAAUAAAAGCUGAAACAGGAGAGUUUAAAAAAAAAAUACCGUACCCGAACUCGAGAACGACGCCGAUUAGAUUUCCUUUUGCUAGUUAACAGCAGAAACGGCCUCCUUUAUUUACAGAAACUUGUAGUCGUCUCCCUCUUCCAUCUCUCUCUCUCACUUGUGACUAUCAUCUUGAGCUCCCUCGACUUAUUUAGGGUUUUUGUGAUGGGAAGGAGGCGCACACUGUUUUUUCAUUUGAAGCACGUUCUUACCUUUUUGCCCUUUCUUUGUUCUAAAAUAAAAGGUCGAUUUUCGAAUAAAGUUUUUUUCUCUGUUUUUUUUUUAAAAAAAAAUUGGAUAAAGUUUGUAAAUAUUGUUGCUUAUAUAUUUUAAGAAUUCUUUUUUUUUUUACGGAAAAAAAGGAUAGUUUUACCGGAAACACUAGCAAGCAUUACUCAAAUUACAAUAUAUUAAGAUAUUGUUUACAAAAGAUUAUGCAAAUCUCGUUAUUUUAAAUUUUAAUUUUUUUAUUAAAAAUUAUUUUUUAUAUGUUUUUAAAUUAUUUUGAUGUGCUAAUAUCAAAAAUAUUUUUUUUUAAAAUAAAAAAAAUAUUAUUUUGAUACAUUUCUAAACUAAAAAUACUUUAAAUCACAACUAUUAUCAUAAUCUCAAACACAUCCUAAGUUUUUAUCCAGUAAUCUACCUUAUUCCUAGUUUUAUGAACAUCUCAAAAGACAUAUAUAGCAAUCUACAAAUAAAUUUAAUUUUUUUGUUAUUAUUAUUAACAAUACACUAAAAAGAAAAAGUAAUACACUAAAACAUAUGAAGAGAAAAUUACUCUAGUAAUGAAUAAUAUUUUCCAUCAUGUUUUGGUGGGCUCUAAAAAACGUAUUUACCUUUUUUAUGAUUUUUUAAUUCAUGUUUUUUUUUAAUUUUAUCAUUUGAUAUUAUAUUUGUUUUUUUAUUAUGUUAUCUAACUUUCGUGAUAUGGAACAUGAGUUUGACAGGUUAACCUGGUUGGUUAGGGUUUUUUUCUUAAUUUCUUUUUCAAUUUCAUCCUUUAAUAUUGAGUUAACUAAAAAUUAGACUUCAUGAUUUGUUUUAUUUGCUUUAUAUUAGGUUAAUUCGGUCUCAUGACCCAAGAAUAGUGUUUAACAGGUUAACCCGAGUUGACUUGAGUUGUUUUUUGUGUUUUUGUAUUUGAGAUUUUUCCCAAUUUUAUCAUUCAAUAUUGGAUUGGUUGGGGAUUGAACUUCAUAAUCUGUUUGGAUUUGUUUUCUAUAAGGAUAUAUUGGUCUCAUGAUCAAGGUUACAGGUUUUGGUAUUUUGGUUAAAUCAAGUCAUUUUUUUUUCUUUCUAAAAGGUUAUCUCAGUCUUAUAUUCUUCAACAUUAGAUUUAUUUUUUAUUAAGCUGCCCUCGUCUUAUGAUCAGAGUUGCAGGUUUGACAGAUUAAUCCAGUUGACUCGAUUUUUGUAAUUGAUUUUCCCCCCUAAUUUCAUCAUUUAAUAUCGUGUUUUAUUGAGAAUUAGGCUUCAUGAUUUAUUUUGUUUUGAUUUUUUAUAAGGUUAUCUUAAUCUUAUGACUUGAGAAUAGUGCUUAACAAGUUAAUCUAUAUUGACUUUGCUCAUUUUUUGUAUCAUUUUUUUAUUCAAUUUUUUAUAAAUUUCAUUGUUCAACAUUGGGGCCGACAUGAUCAAUAAAGAAUUAAGUUUCAUAAUUUAUUUUUAUUUACUCUUUAUGAGGUUAUCUCAGUCCCAUGAUCAAUAUCGUGGAUUUAACAAGUUAAUUCGGGUUAAAUCAAAUAGUUUUUUCUUUCUUUCUUUCUAUGAGGUUACUCGGUCUUAUGACUCGGAUCAUGGGUUUGGUGGAAUGACUUGUGUUAUUUUUUAUGUUAUUUUUUUAAUUGAUUUCUUUUUUUAGUUUUAUCAUUCAACAUUGGACUGAUUGAGAAUUAAACUUUAUAAUUUGUUCUGAUUUUCUUUCUAUGAGGCUAUCUCGAUCUUAUAACCCGAGUCGCGAGUUUCACAGGUUAACCCGGGUUGCUUUUUUUUAUCUUUCCUUAAUUGUUUUUUUCUUUCAAUUUCAUCAUUCAACAUUGAGUUGAUUGAAAAUUAGGCUUUAUAAUUUAUUUUGAUUUGUUUUCUAUAAGGUUAUCAUAGUCUCAUAACCUGGAUCACGGAUUUGACAUGUUAACCCGAGUUGACCCAAGCCAAUCCAAUAUGUUGUUAUCUUAAUGUAAAACAAGAUAUCAUUUUGAAAAAAAUCUUGAGUUAAAUUAUGUUUUUACGAGUUGUCCAGGUUGUUUUUUAGACCUGUAAAGUCAACCGGAUCACAUCGAAUCAACCUUCAUAUAAUUUAAUUCUUUUUAUUAAAAACUUAUUAGUGAUAUUUAAAUAAUUGUUUAUAUUUUAAAAAAAUCUGACUCGCACCGCGGGUCAAAGUUCCAGUAAAAAAACUAAAAGAGAUAGUAAAAAUAUUGUGAACCAUGUCUAUUUUUAUUAUGGAUUCAUACAGUAAUUCAAGUUUAAUUUCUCAUCUUUCUUUUUGUGAGAAGACAAAAUUUAUUUUACUCUUUUUUUUAUUUGUCUUCGUGUCCUCUCCUCAACCACAUUUCUUCUUACUCUUUUUUUUUGAACUUUUUUGCACCUAAGAUUAUGUUUUUUCAAUUCAUCUCCUUUUUAUGAACUAGAUCAAUAAAUGAGAGAAAAGAUGUAAAGGAGGUGAGUUUUCAUAGAUUUAACAAUGAUUAAAGCAAUAUUUGAUUUGUAGGUUUCAUAAAAAUCAACUCAAGAAAUCCAUAUAACCUGGUAAGAAUUUAACUUUCAAAAGUCACAAGUCUGAUUUAAGGAAAGAGAUCCAUUGGGAGGAGUUGUUGUUGCUACUUGGGUCACCAACACACAAAUCCACCAUGUUUGUAACACCCUGUAAUCUAAUACAUUCGUAAAUGAACUUUGAGCCUUAACUUAAGAAAAAUAAUUUUUUUUUUGCCGAACUUAUCUAGGACUUGCCAAACAUUUUACCGAAUUUUUGGUAGAGUUUUCCCUAUACCGAGAAAUCCCAAGUUAUCGACAAUCAUCUUGUACACACCUUAUACUCAUUUCUCAAUUAUGUCAUAAUCAUGUUGAAUCUCAACAACACAUCAUUCAUGGUACAUGCAUAACGUUUCACAUAUUCAUUUCUUUCCCAUUAACACACAUAAUUCAUAAUAAAUGGAAGUAAACAAACAUUAAGAUUACACAUACAAAAUAAUACAAUUUAUGUCCUACAAUUAGGCCUCAUUUGUUCGCUGGAAAGUAGUUUUUUUUUUAAAGUGAUUUUCUUGUAAAGUGAAUUUCUGAAAAGUGAAUUAUUUUCCGAUGUUUGGUAGAAUCAUGAAAAAUAAGUUGGAAAACACUUUAUAGUGUUUGAUUAUGUUAUAGAAAAUGAGCUGGAAAAUAGCUUAUUAAUGUUUUUUUUUUUUUCAAGUUUAUUAAAAUAAUAAGGAACAAAUCUUACAAAUUAAAAAGUUGAAUGAUAAUGAAAUUGAAAAACAUUUAAUUUCAUAAAUUAUCUUAAAUAAAAUAAAUAAUAAUCAAAAUAAUAGAGAUCAAAUCUAACAAAUAAAAAAAAUUAAAAGAUGAUGAAAUUAAAAUAAUAAUAAUUACAAUUUCAUAAAUUAUUUCAAAUAAAAUAAGUAACAAUCAAAAGAAUGAGGAUCAAAUUUGAUAGAAAAAAUAUUUCAAUUAAAAAAAUGAUAAGAGAAAAGCAAAUAACAAUCAUAAAAAUAAGAACCAAAGUUAAUAUAAAAAUAAAAUUAAAUUAAAUUUUAAGGGAUGAAAUUAAAAAAAAAAGAUUCAAACAAAAUAUAUAUCAAUUUAAAAGUUUGAGGACCAAAUUUGAUAUAAUCAGCAAAUAAUAUGAUAUUUCUAAAUUUUUCACAACCUCUAGAAAGUGUUUUCAAUCCAAAAUAAAAAGGAAAACACUAUUUUGGAAAUCAAGCAAAAUUUUUCUUUGACUGGAAAGUGUUUUUCAUUGACCAACUUUUCUAAUAGUAAACAAACACAUGAAAGUUUGGAAAGUGAUUUUCAGGAAACCACUUUUCGAGCAAACAAACGCCCCCUUACUGUAAAAGAAGUACUAUUACAUAUUAAGUCAUUUAGUUCUUUAAAGACAAUAUAUUAAUGUUCAUUUUCUUCUCUAAUCAUACAAAAUGAGACUAAAAGAUCUAAAACACUACUCCUAGUGUGAAUGUGAAGGACAUUCAAUAUCAUAAUGUAUAGAAUAAAUAUAGUAAGAAUAAAUUAUAGCAUGGAAGGAAAAUCACACAAUACAUGCACAUGUAAUUAAAUAUAUAUUCAACGAUAUGCAAUCAUAGUUAUUUGAAAUUCUUAUUUAACUUUCUAUUAUUACGUCUCUAUUCAUCAUUCCUGGAAUCGUUCAACAUUUUCAUUUUGUGUCUUGUUUCAUCUCACAAGUGCAUUUAAUUCGUUAUAACAUCUACCAUAUGAUUUCUCUCUCUAUCUUUAUAUCAAUGCUAAUCCUAAAAUCUAUUAUACCCAUUAUGACUCUUUCAUAUAAAUCAUCAAACUCAUUAUGUUUUUGGCUCAAUUUUUGUUUAUAAGUAUAUUCAACUUAUACAUUUCUUGUGUCUAUUUUAAUACAUUCCAAUGUUUCUUUAGAUUUUCAGUAAAAUCUCCCUUUGUCAUGGAACCUACCAUCAUUUUCACAAUAUUCAUAUCAAAUCCAUCUUCAAAUAAUAUGAAUAUCAUACAUACAUCAAUUAAUCAAUCUAUUUAAUUCAUCAAUCUAAUCUCAUUUGGCCACUAGAAUUAAGGCCAAAUUUCAUUAUCCAUCACUCAUAUGGAUGACUAAUUAUACAAUUCUUCAUUUACUUUCUCAUAUCAUUCUAAAUAGUAACCAACUUACUUGUUGUUGAAUACCGCAUAUCUAGCGUAUGAAAAUUUUAACCCUGGUAAUUCAUUUUCUUUAAAUUCUAAAUAUUAUAACAAAUUAUUUAUGUGCGUCUUCAAUGUUUGAACCAAGCCCUCUAUGAUCUUAUACCUCAAUUGGUAGUCAUUGUCAUACGUCGUUUCAUCACUGUUAUUAGCAUUUUAUUACACUAUUAUAAUUACUAUCAAAUUCUUAUCAUGUCAACAACAACACAAAACCUUAAUACAAUAUAUUUACGUUGCGAGUCAUAAUUUUUUUGACAUCCUCCAUGUGCACAAUACACGAUUCUCAAAUUGUAUCAAUUACAAUUCAUCAAAUAAUUCAAAAUAAUAUAUACCUCAAUUGUACAACACCUACCAUGGUCAAUAAACUUCUAUUCUUACGUUCCAAGCGAUACGAUCUUUGCCUACAUCCUUCACAAGGAUUAGAUCUUCAUCAAUUUAAUUUUUUUUAUUUCUUCAAUAAUCCACAACAUAAACACAAUUUACCACUUCUGUUUAACAGUUAGGUUUCAUUCAACAUUCUAUUUAUAAUCUGACAAAGUAGUUAUCCUGAUAAUAUUAACACCACACAAGUCCAGUCAUUAGAAAAACUAAUGUCACCAGCCCAUUACCGGGUAACUAGUUCCUCUGCCUAUUUUAUUCCACAAUUUCCAAUCAAUAUCCGCCUUUUUAAGGCUGAAUGAAUAAUCAUUUCAAGAUGUCAAUCCCCAUUUCAUUAACACUUUUAAUCAUUCCUUAUCGUGAAUACCGUUAUAACACCUCUCCCCUAAAACUUGGAAGGGAAUGCCGACACUAAUGAAUUUUCAUUAGUGUCGUCGCCAAUAUCAAGACCGACUAAUCAAGUUUGUUUUAAAUGCCAACAUCAAUGCCACUGAUUGAUGUCAUUGACUAUUUCCAACCCGAAAUAGCCAAUCAAAUUUUUCUUUCUAUAAUACCUUGGAAUAUUUCCAGAAAUGCCGAUGUCAAGAUUCUUGACAUCAUUAGCUUAUAUUUCAGAAAUAGCUAAUCAAGUUUUAUGGGAUUGUUGAUAUCGACGUUACUAGUCGAUGUCAUUAACUAUUCUCACCCGAAUAGUUAAUCAAGUUCAAUAUCUCUUAUUUUCAAGGAUGAUCAUGCCAAUGUUAAUAAACCUUACUAACAUCAUUAGUCUCCGUAUUCGGGACCAGUUAAUCAAGUUUGAGGAACGAUCAUCAACGAAGUCCAUUAAUGUAAUUCAUAUUAUUAAAUCAAUCAAGUACCCAAAUCCAUUUUAAUUUCUUGUUUAUUUCACUUUAUCCUUUCUCUUUGUGGUUUCACCCAUAAAAGCAAAGACCGAGAAUUUAACAAGUUAGUAAAAUUAACGUUACGUAAAAAGUGUAAGUAUAAAACACCUACCUGCUGCAGAAGCUCGGCUCGUGCUUCCUCGUUGUUGUUGUGCCCCUCCUGUGGUCCCUCCUACCAUACAAGCUCCUGAGAAGUUGGACCCCCCUUCGAAAGCUUUUCCUACAUUUCAAUAUAACAUCCUGAAUCAAUAUUCAAAUCUUCCCAAUUUAUUUAUAAAUUCACAAAAUCAAAUACUUCCGUAAAUAAAUUCACAAAAUUGAAUACUUUCAUAAACAAUUUCUAUGGAUGUAUUUUAUUUUAAUGCUUCUCAUUUAAAUUCAUUUACAUUAGAAUUUAUUUACCCGAAUAUUAAAUGUUCAAUUAACUCAAUUCUUUAUUAAUGAUUUUCAAUGUCCAAAAAACAUGACUUUUCGUUACCGAUUUUUUUCUAGUGUCUAGAGACAUGAAUUCUCAUAAGUGAUUUUCUAAUUUUCCAAGACAUUUAAUCUAUCGCCAAACAAUGUAAUUUAGCUUAGAUUUCAACAAUGACUACACAUGUCAAAUUUUUCCAAAGCACACUCCAAAUGAUUUCUUAUAUCAUAAUUCAAUUUACAACAUCCCUUACCAUGAUUUCCCAUUCAUUUCUUCAUCAAAACACGUAAUUUACCAAACAUUUCAGCACCAAUUUAACUAACAUGGCCAGUCACAAUAGGGGUUAAUUUUCCAAAGUUAGUUUCAAUUUAUCCCAAACUAUUUUCCCAUAUCAUGUUUCUUAUACCAACACAACCAAAGUAUAAAUCAAUCAUUAUUUUUUUAUAUAUAGAAUUUAACUAUACACAUCACUUAUCAACACAUCAAACAUGACUCAAACACAACACAAACAAUUCUCAAACACUUCCAUCAUCAUUAAACCCAUUACAAUUAUCGUUAGGCCCAAAACAUAAUUUUUAUGCUAAACAUCAUAUUCUCAUUCAAUAUUUCUCAAACCAAACUUAAAAUACUAUUCUUUCAACUCAAAAUUCAAUAAAUCCAAACGGCGACAUUAUACAUCAUCAUAAUUAGAAUAACAUAUCCAAAAUUAACAUACAUCUAACGGUUAAAUCUCCCUAUAUCAGAACAAUACCAAAUUGACCUGAAAAUUAGAGACCUACUGAUCAGGAAGUAUAAUUUCUGGUGAGAGUGUUUGCUUUUGAUCUCAACCGUUUAGAAUUUAUAGAACAUUUGGAUGAACAAUAUAUGCAAGAUCCAAACCAAUGCAAUGGUGGAAAGAUGAGUAAUAGCCAACGAACGAGACUGUCUUGAAGGUGAUUUUCUAGGAAUGUUUCUCAGGUGACAGAUCUCAAACGAAGUCUGUUAGACAAUCCCUCCAGUAAAAAUAUAGGUAACAUUGACCAUAAUAACAUAUCCAACGUUGGAAAGCCAAGAUAUGGUUGCUGAAGUUUCUGCCUUGUUGCCAUCCCAAAACCCAUAGUUACAAAUCAAUUUAUUCCUUCUAUUUUAUGCUAAUCAAGUCAUUAUCAUGCAAUUAACUUUAAAAUCCACAAGAACAAUUAUUCUCCUAAAAUAUUUACAUGAACCCUAGAAUUUUAAGCUUUGAGGUUUUCUUCUCCUCAUGUAAGAACAAGAGAGAAAAACGAAAUUACUUUAGGGUAUGUUCUUUACCUUUACUACUUUAACUUAUUUCAGUGAAUUCUUGCAAAACUCUACAAAACAUCAUGUCCUUCUCUUCCAAUUUCCAGCUUCUUCUCUUUGUUUUUCUCAAGCUUUAUAACUCUCUAAGUUUAGUCACUUAAUUUUUUUUCUUGGAUAUAAUCCUCCCAAGAACACUCCAUUUUGAUUUAACUUGAAGAAAUGGAGAGAAGAUGAAGAAAAUGGGAGAACAAAUGGUCUCCCUCUUGUUUUCCUUUUGCAUAGGAUAUGGGCUGUCUUUAAAGGAGGAGAGAAGAAUAUUUGUUUUGAUAAAAUUACCAAAAUACCCUUAUUAAUGGCUCGUGUGUCAUCUUCUUUAAUUUACUUGAUUUUCAGUACUCUCGUAAGGCCUUUCCAAACUUUGAUUGACAUGAAAUUUUAACCUAAGAUAAAGCAAUAAGUCUGGAGAUUCCUUAUAAAAGUUCAGUCUGAUCCAACGAUCGGAUUGAGAUAUAUCAUCAAUACCGUAAGACUAGACAAUCAGUGUUUCUUACGCCAAAAUUUGAAUUUCAUGCAUUAAUUUAUUUACUUAGAUCAUCAUUAAAUUUCACCUUAAUUUAUACUCAAUAAAUGCAAUAUUAACCAUUUAUCACUAAUUUAUCAAAAUAAGUUUUUUGAUCGGGUUUACAUAUCUUCUCAUUUUUCUUAUUCUUGUAUCCAUUGAAACUUAUCACUGGUUUUGACAAUGUUACGAGUUUUAAACUAAAAAUCAUAACCCUCAUUUAGUCUUCAACAAUACCUUUAAAUUUAUUUAUGGAGACCAUUCUCUUUCUUACAUGACACAUUUAUUAUCAUUCCCACUAUUUAUUCAUUUCUUUCAUACCAAAUCUUCAUUACUCAUCGAGACCUCAUUACUUUGAUCCUAUGUUUUUUUUACAGGGGUUUACAAUGUUCUUGACGAUGGAGCUAGCGGCGUCAAUUCCAUCACAAAGACUGCAACAACCCACCAUCAGUGGGCUAGACCAGUCCCUGUAACUUCUAAUAGAUCGACCAACAUCCAAUGGUGAUUUUGGGUAAGUUAAUUUGAUUUUUUUCAUUUAAGAAAAGCUUGACUCUUUUUUUGUUGUCAGUCCAACCUGUAGCCAAGUUAGAGAUGACAUGGAUACGGGAGUAAAAACAUCACUAUUCUCAUCAAUAAGACUAUUUAAAGACAUCCGCGUAAAAACCACUCCUUCAUUGUUAACCUUCUUAAAAAAUUGAAACAUGAAUAACAAACUCUUUUCUUUAUCUAUCUGAACCAUGUAAAAUACCCAUAUCUCUUGAGCACCAAUAUAUAUUUCUCUUUAAUGCUAAGGGUGUACAUGUUGCAUCAUUUUUUUUCACACACUACACUUUUAUCAUAUUGCUAAGACAUGUCUCUAACUAUAUAAAACAUAUAUCAAUAGACACUAUAUCACACCAAAUAUUAUUAAAACACUUUGUGCAAAUGAAAAAUGAAAACAAACAUGAUUGUCUAUUUUAAGUUAAAACUUCUACAUUGCCUAGGUUGAUAUUGCAUUCUCACAACUCUCACCAUCAAUGAUUAGGUUGCACAACUUUUUUUUAAUCGUACAAAUUGUAUGAAAGAUGUUAGUAUAUAACCAAUCUUCACCUAAAUCAUCAUUGGAAGUUAGCGAACUCUUUUGGAUGAUUGAGGUAGCAUUAUCAUCUCUAUAUAGAAUCUCAUUGCCACCUUUAUCAUUAUAAACAGGCUAUCUAAUGGCUUCACUCUUUUCUUCGAACUCAUCAUUAUUAAAAGACUCUUACUCGUGUGAAUCUUUGGCUUAUGACACCCAUUAGCACAAUAACAUCGCUCACCACAUCUAUAACACCAAAUUAUGACAUAUGGUUUGCUCAAGAAUAGAUUUAGGUUGACUGAUUGUUUGCUAGUAAUUGGUGCGCACACCUCUAGUACUCUGGUAUACUUGAGUGUCUUUAUUGGCUUCCUUAACUAUUUCUCCACUAUUAAAGCCCUAUGAUAAGCUUCCGAAAUUGUCCACAACAAUUGCAAACAAAGCACAUCUUAUAUGGACUGUCAUAACCUAUUUAAGUAUCACGUCACCAAGUAAUAUUUUAUUUGUAACAGGUCGUUUCUGAUCAGUAGUUGACAUAUACUCAAAAAGAAAAAAGUGACCAUUCAUAUUUUUCUUCAUCAUUUCCUAGUCAUAAAUCAUGGGUUUAUCCUUCACUCACGAGUUCUCUUUAAUUGUUCCGACCAUGUAAAAGCUUACCUCUUAAAUCUGAUAGUGAUUGACUUCACUUUUAUUUGUUUUAGAACCUUUUUAUAUUAAAAAAUCAUCUCCAUUUCAUGUAACCAAUAAUUGAAUUCCCCAGCCUGUAAGGUGUUUGCAAACUCAUGAAGUGUCAUCAAAACACAAGUUUUUAUGGUACUCAUCUCAAUCAUAAGGCUAUGUCCUUUACUCACACCUAUUAAACAAGUUCUCAACACUAGUCAUAAAUUCGUGAUCAUUCGUCUUUUGAUCCUUAAAAUCUUUCUCCUUCAAAUGACAAGUUAAUUCUAUAACUUGCCUUUAUAAGUUCUCGAUCACUAGUUUGUGAACGUUUUGUUUCUAAAAUGAAACCUUCUUUAUCAAAAACCAUUCCCUUUCCACACUACUACAUCAUGCUCUGUGUCCUCUUCUAGUUAUGACUAUUCCAACAAUGUAAUAACAAAAACAACUAAGAACACUAGGCUUUGAUGCUAUUUAACGCAACCGAAUCUAAGUAUAUUAAGAAUAAAAGGAACAAUAAGACAAAAUUCACGAAAAAGGUUGAAAAGGAACCAUAAAUGUACUAUUUAUUUUAAUUAAAAAUUAUCAUGUCAAUCCCUAACUUGAAAAGAAAUAAAGAUUAUAAUAGUUUAAAUAGACCUAUAUCCGACCUUAACCGGAAAGGAAAAAUAAUCCUAAUCAAACAUGAAAAAAUAAAGGCUGAAAGUAUGAAAUUAAGAAGAAAAAAACCAAAAUUGAGAGAAAAAAAGUUUUCGAUCUAAUUUGAAAGCCUUCUUGACCUCGAUUGGCUCGCAAAAUCUUCUAAAAAACUUUCAGCACAAUACAAUGGUCAGAUCAAAAGUUAUGUUUGUUUCUGUUAGACAGGUCGUUUGGCACAAUCAAACCUUUUCUUGAGCUUGUAGAAGUCCAUCUGGUUCAUAAAUAUAUAUAUGUCAGGCUUUCUUUCCACGUGAUGUGAAUGCAACAUAUCCAUAUUUUACUAUUCAGAUCCUCCUGCAUCAUGCAUCCUCUAUCUACUAAUAACUUAACAAGGGCUUUUCCAUAUCUGUUCUUCAUAUUCGGUUGUUGCUUCCUUGGGGCGCCUUACAUUUACACUUGAUGCAGUCUUUAUUCCUACUGAAAUUCAAAAAGUCACACCUACAUAAACGGAAAGCAAAAGAGUUAAACAUAUCUUUUCAUGAAAGACACUCAAUGAUGAGAGUGAGGAAGACUCACGAUGGGCAGUUCCACUCUCCGGCCAUUCUUUUGGGGCUCACACAAUUGCACUUUAGGCAGACUUUAUUCUUACUGAAAUUCAGGAAGUCACACCUGCAGAAACAGAAAGCAAAGAGUAAGAUGGAUCUUAUCCUGAAAGACAAAUCAAUCAGGAGCGAGGGAGACUCACGAUGGGCAGUUCCACUCUCCAGCCUUUCUUUCAGGGCGUGGAUCUCGACAACGUAAGCAUGUCUUAUUGCUAGCAAAAUUCAUGAACCCACAGCUGCAAACAGAAAACCAAGUGACAUGGACAGAAGUAUUUCAAAAGCAGACAAUAAGAUGAAAAAAAAAAAAAAAAACAAUAUCGAAUUAAACUUCCAUAAAAAGUUGAUAGCUUUCAAGAUAGACAAAUAAAGAUGAUAUGAAAGCUGGAACACAUCUUUCAUAGGCUUCCUCUUUGUUUCUUUUAUAUUUCCAUGUGUUUUUUACUGACAUAAUACUUACUAAACAAGGGAUUUAAUGGUAGUGGUUCGUAGGGAGAAUAGCAUUUAUUACAUUUUUUUAAUGUACUUGUGCAUUCUUCAUAAGAUAAAUUUCCUUUAAACAUCGUCCCAAAAAAAUCCUAGAUAGAAUUAUUGAUGACAAGAACUAUCAAUGAAAUUAUGUUGGAUGUCAUAAAGCAAGAAGCCUCACAAUACGGUAACAAAAAUGAUUCACUAGGGCAACAAUAUGCCCCCAAUAUAAAAAGGCAGACACGCAUCUUGUGUUUAACAUAAAAGGUACAAAGAACUGCUCUGUCAUAACAUCCACAACCCCCUCUUCAAAAGCACCAAGCUUUCAUGCUUUCAAAAUUUAAUCAAAUAAAAAUCUCAUUAGGGUGAAGAACACAUUAUUUUCUCCUCAAAUGCUCCCACCACAAUGUCAAUUGUAUAUAUCUACAUUGCGCUUGUUACUAGGACAAAAAAAUAAGGUUUACCUGUUGCAAUUCCAAUCUCCCUUCUUCAUUUUCACAUCAUCUACACCGGGCCUCUUUGGGCCCUCUGCUUUGCACUUUAGGCAUUUUAUAUUUCUAGAAAAAUUCACGAAUUCACAGCUGCAACAGAAAUGGAAUGUGCCAGUUAAUGGAUUGAAUGAGACAAAGGAUGUAAUAAGAGAUGCAACAGGUUUAUGACAACAUAGAGAAGAUUAUGUUAGACCACUAUGAAAGUAAUAACAUCGACUCAACUACAGAAACUGGAGUUUGUAGGUUAUUGCUCUACAAUUCAAAAAAGAAAAAGCAUCAAAAGGAUUUCCUUGGGUUUUUGGAACAGAUAUAAAUAGAAAGGCUAGGAAUUUGUUCCUCAAAUAUUGUUUACCAUGGGCCACCCCUGCAGUAUAAUAUAAUUACAAAGAACUCCCUCUAGUUUCUAGAAUCAGACCGGUAGAUUUACAAAUUACUCCAUUUGAUUAACACGAUGGCUCUUAUGUCUUUACAACUCACACAUGGAAUCGCCAUUACAGUUGUUGAACUUAGAGAAGAGGGCCCUGUGAUCUCAUAAUACUGUGAGAUUUACCCUCGUCUGUAUUGAACAACAUUAUAGGUUCCUGAGAAUUGACAAAUCAAAGUUUUUACUAGAAACUAUAAAAAAGAAAAGAACAGUCAGAAAAUGCAUCAAAAGAUCCUAAAAGUCACAAGAACAUUUAUAAGAAAAUCAAAUGCCCCUUGAACUAAAUGCUCUAGACCAAUCUUUCAACAAGUGUGAGAACAGUUUUCUACCCGAAAAAAAUAGCAAAUGGCAUUCUGCCCUAAUAUUUAGGUGAAAACUGGCUUUUAAUAGAGACAAAAAUCAUGCAAAAACUGGAUAAAUAAAUGGUUUCUGAAUCUAGCAAAGGAACUCCAAAGGCAUAAUGAAACUGGACCAACAAAAUACAGCACAAAUAUAACAGCUAAAAUUGUAAAAUCAAUCAUGGUUCGAAGUUCAAACAUUUGUUCUUUUCCCCUAAUACUGUCGAUAGAGUGAAAAACUUAAAAAGGUCAAUCACAGUGUAAAGAAAAUAAGAUGAUAGGGAGCUUACUCAGAGCAUAUCCAAUCUCCUUUCUUAGCUUCAAUAUUGUUAUCACCAUCCUUCUUCGCACUUUGUUCACCACAUUUUUGGCAUCUUUUAUUUUUUGAGAAGUUCAUAAAGUUGCAUCUGCAAGAACAUACCAAGGAUUUCAAUAAACAAAAUGCAAAUUUUUCUAACGGGGUGUCACACUGUAUCUGGUGUCUGCACAAGCAUAUAAACACACAAUUAAAAGCAAGAGAAAAAUGAGGGAUUAAUACAGAGCUGCACUUUCCCAACAGCGACCACCUUCCCAAGAAAAGAAAAAAAAGUAAAAAGAAUAGGAGCAUUGGUGAUGUUCAUCUCAUUUUGACACUUAUAUAAUAAGUUCUGGCUUCAGAUUCAUAUUGAACAUCCACAUGCAUGGGCAUUCCCCUGUGCAAAGACGAAGAAAGCUCUAGCAUGCACGCAUUUGAGCACAAAUGUAACAUUCCUAUAAUCUACAUCAUCAAGGUACUAGAGACAAUGGACCUUCUGUUUCAGGCUUAGUCUUAUUAGAUGACUGAAUUGUUACUGGAGACAGCCGUGGACAUCAUUUAAUUGUAAGUGACUUGGGGUGAUUAGUGGUAAAAUACUGAAAAAGAACUGGCCUCUCAUAGGACACAAUAGAUGCAAGGGAAUGGCACAGAAGAGAUGAAUCUUGUUCCUUCUCAAUACCCCUUAACUAACUCCUUUUGAUCUUUCGACCUCAAGCUCUCAACAACUAAAAAGUUGAAGUCUAAGCCUAAGCAAUAUCCUCGAAUAAUGAAAUGAUUCCAUCAUAUUUUCUCUUUGGGCACAUACCUUCAUGAUGCAGUUGUAAGACGCACAAUAAUGAACAAUAAAUUAGUAUUCCAAGCAAGGAUGCAAUGCUUGAACUGUGGGGCAAUCCAAAAUGGAUGUAAUAUAAUUAUAUUAUCAAGGAAUUGUUAUAAACCAAAAUAACAUGGCGGGGUUGGGGUUCCAUAGAAUAACUGAGAACAAAGGAGCCUUUUCCCAAAUUCCAAAAAGAAGUCCUCCUGAAAUCUUCGGUGGUAUUAAUGAAAAUCCCACAAACAUUAAAAUAAAGAAAUACAAUUCUAACAUGCACGCCAACAAAAACAAUUCCCAAUGAGGCCAUGCAUCUACUUAAGCUAUUAAGGAUCAUAAAGUUGGAUUGGUUAUCCAAUGAUCCGAACUUUGAUCCCUUUUGCAUUAAGAAAAAGUUCCCCUCUGAUCACAUCAUUCAAGAAUAUGCAGAGUUUAUCAAGUUAUAACGGAAAGAAUUGUAGAGAUAUAUUUAAUAAUUUUCUAAUUGUCACUUACUUGGUACACAUCCAAUCUUCUUUCUUCGUUUCGACAUUAUCACACAGUUGGCCAUCCAUAAAAUCAACAUCUCGCUCCUUCUUAUGGGAGGCUUUGGGAAUAUGCUUUGGUAGUGCUGGAUCUUGGGGUGUCUCACUUAAUUCAGUCAACUCAGAAAGCAGCUUCCUUGCAGACGUUUCAAUGAGCUCACUACCAGGAGAUUUCUGUCCUCCUGAAAUAACAAAUGGAUCUAGUGCAUGGAACAUUAAGACCCGCACUAUGUCCACGGUACGACCUUCUGCGUCAUUACCUUUUAGUGUCACAUACGCUCUAUCACAAAAACCCCGAUGAGUACAAGUACCACAAGCCUGCAAGCAAGAGUCUUAACAGUUCAUAAAACACAAUGCCAGAAGGCACUUGAAAAUUUCUAUUGAAAUGCAUCUUUUUAAUCACUAACAAAUCAUGAACGAAAUUAAGAAAGGAAAGAAACAUACAUCCCCUUCAUCCUUUUGCACGUAAGCUCUCAUUCUUUUAGCUGAAUUAACAACUUUUCGAAGCAGAUUAGGACAUCCACUCUCCACAACUGUUUGAAUAUCAGGUCUAGACAAUGAUCUGCAAAAGUGAAAACAAAACAAAUUCAAGACCCAAUAAACAUUUCUUAAUUCUCAAAUAUCUGAAAAUCCAAAUUCUCAAUCUUUUAAGCUUCCCUUCAUUUUUAAACCACUAAUCAAAUUUCAAUCCAACUGAAAGGGAAAUAAAAGUGGCUUACUUGAAAAUAUCAUAUCUGUCACGAGCAAAGCUAAGACAAGCAUUCUUUAAUUGAUUCAUGUCAGUGUAAGCAAUCUCACUAGUAGUAUCGCCAUCCUCUUCUUUUGCAGAAGUUUGCAUAAAGUAACCCCUGGCCUUCAAUUUAUCAACAAAAAUGACCCACUCAGGCCACGGAUGUUGUUUUUGUUUCCUUUCUUGUAGAAGGGAGUUCAAGGUUUCUGUGUUAUCUGUAGUGGCUGUAGCAGCGGUGGCUGCAGUGGAGGAAGAACAGUAGAGGUGGAAUUGAAGGGAAGGGAAGGGUUUAAAGGAGAAAAAUGGAGAGAGAGUUUUGUGGGGAUGGCUAUAAUGAGUUGUACGGGGAAAGAGCGAAGUGCCAAAGAGUAAGAAUCUUGACGCUGAUGACAUUGGUGGAAGGUAGAAAGAUGGAGGCUGGGGGUUUUGCAGGGUUUUAGGCAAAUGGCAGCAAGCAAGCACUGGAGACUUGUGGCACCCACGGCUCGGAUUUUGUACGAAGCCUCUCCCUGUUUUAAUUUUGAUUGUCAUCUCUUUUUUUUUUUUUUUUGAAUUGAAUAUUUACUAGUUCGUAAUCUCUUAAGAAUAUUUUUUUAUAUAAUUUAAAAAUUACUUUAUUUCUUUUUUAAGUUAAUAUUUUUUUUUAUUUAAGCUAUACUUAAUUGUUAAUAACUAUCAUAAUUAUGAAAUAAUUAAUUAUAUUACUAAAAGUUUAGAUAAUGUAUUAUAGUAGAUUAAGUGAAUCUAUUUAAUAUUUGUAAUUAUUUAAUUGUUAUGAAGUGAAUAAUAUUUAUUUUUUAGAGGCAACAAUAUACUUUUUUAGUCCCAAGUGCACAAUUAAUUUUAAAUUAGUCCCUCUAAUUCUAUAAAAUAAAAUAAAUAAUCUUUCUAGUUCAAAAAUUAAUUAACUAGUCCUUGUGUUUCAAUUUUAUUUGUAAAUUAAUUAUUUUUGUCGGUUCCAUGUUUUUAUUUUUAUUUUCAGUUUAGUUUGUUUUUCUUGUUUUAAAAAUAGAUAAUGGGGAAAGAUUUAAAAGAAAAGAAAAUUUUGUUAAACAAAAUAAUAAAUUUUAUUUUCAAUUUAGUUUGUUUUUCUUGCUCUAUACUAUCUCUCUUUUUUUCUAGAAAUAUAAAUAACAAUCACAGCAACUAAAAAUAAUAGUACAAGCACAAGAAUCAACUAAAAUUACUUCCCCGGCAACGGCGCCAAAAUUUGUUGCGACGUCGCGGUCGCAUAAAUUAAUUACCCUAGCUUCAAACACAACACACAAGAUAGUAUAGAGCAAGCAAGGGGUCGACUCCACGAGGAAGUUUCAAGUCAGAUUUUUAUGUUGUAUGUUAUGUAAUUGGGGGGAUUUGGUUUGUGAUUAUCUAAACUAUGGCAGCAAUUAAACUAGCAAACAAAAUCAAUUAAAACCGAAACUUAUCAAGAAAACAAAUCUUGGUCCCAAGCACACAUUUACCUACGGAAAUUAGAACCGAUCCUUGAAACGAAAAUUGCAGUUUAUGUUCUGAAAUUUUAUCUUUUCUUAACGUUGAUUAAUUAACGGAUCCGCCGUAUAAUUAUCCUAACCAACAAACAAUCAAAGUGUCCGCACUAAUGAUUCAAUUUAAUGGCAGCUUUAAGAAUUAGAUAAUUUCAUCAAGAUUAACAUACAAGCUUUCUGCAGCUUGUGUCACUUUGUUCAAAUGUUCUCCCUAAGUUCAAUAACGUAGUUCCGCCACAAUUAUCAAGCUUAGUUGCUUCACAAGUUCAUAUAUCACAACUCCGGUUUUGAUAUUAAACUUAACAACAGAUUGUUCACAACAAUAACUUAGAGUCCGCUCUAGCACUCAUCAACAACAAUCAUAGGAAAUAUGCAUAGGAAAACAAUCAUACUCAUUCAUAACAUAAACUGAAAAUAAAAUGAAGAAUAAAUCUCACGGUUCUUGAAAUCUGAAGAUUUGUUGUGUCCUUGCAACCAAUAAAAGAGCUUAGCCUUGCAUAACUAUUGAACAAUUACUUCUAAAGAAUGAAAAGAGCAUGAUUUUUGGGUUUGUAGAUGAGAGAAUUUGUGUUUAUUCUCUGCUGGCUGCUAGCCCCUUCUCACUUUCUUUUUAUAUGCUAAGAAACCCCAGUCUCUAUUUUACAAAAUAGUCUUUUAUUAAGUUGGCAGUUUACAUUUAAGUACUUCAAUAAUUAUUUUCCCUAAAAAAAAGAAAUAGCCUUGCAUAAAGUCUUCAAUCUCUGACUUAGAGGAGCUAAAUUGCUCAUAUAAAAACUUGGAUGUCGGUUUAGAUGCUUCGGAAUGUAAUUUGAACUCGUUUCUUCACAAAACCUGUUUGCUGGUAGAAUUUAGUUGUCAUCUUUGAAAAAUCAUAUCUCCCUCAUAUAACAUUGUUUUUGGCUGAAAUUUGGCGCGUUGAUAGGUCAUUGAGUUAGGAAUCCAAAACAAUUGAGUUUGCAUCAAUUGGACUUCUGUAACUCCAGAUAUUAAUUUUUGAAUGGUCAAAGGUCAACACUGGCAAAAUGCGAGAUUUGACUUUUACAGGAUGUGAUUUCCAUGAUCUUUCUCUUUUUAUUUUUCUUGCAUUACAUUUCCAAAAAGGUAUGGAUGUUAGCUUUUUAGUGCCACUGGAAUCACUUCAUUUCGAUCUUUAGAACUCACGCUCUGCACAAAACAUCGAUUAAACGUCAAAUCUGUCAAUUACCUCCAAUUUACUCUUUUUUGUAUCUUUCAUUCAAAAAUGCCUUCAAAACAUAAAAUAAAGAAUAUCAAGACAUUUUAUAUAUAAAACAUGGACAAAACAUUAGGUAGAUGUGGGUGAAACUAUCGAAUAAUAUAGUUAUAUCAGUUAAUACUAAUCAAUAGACUAGUUAUUUAUAAGGACACUACUGUGCUUUAAAAUAUUUUUUAAAAUAUUUUUAGAUUAUUUUGAUGUAUUUAUAUUUAAAAUAAAUUUUAAAAAAUUAAAAAAAUAUUAUUUUAAUAUAUUUUAAAUAAAAAAUACUUUAAAAACUAUAAUAACGAACAAUAACAUAAUCUUCUGACAUUAUAAAAUAAUAAUAAUAAUAAUAAAGUCAAAAUUAAAUUCUCACAUCUAAUAAAAUGAAUAAAUCGAUCAUCUCCCAUAAAACCCACAUUUUCUUAAAUAAAAAUAAAAAUAAAAAUAAAAAACCCCACAUAAACCUCCUCUCUUCUUCGCAGAUCUCUCCUUCUUUCUGUUCACAAUCAUGAGAAGAGCGUCGACUCUCGCGUCUUCCGUCCUCUCUCGGACCCUCUCCUCCACCCUCCACGAUUGCAGUGGCCUCUCCACCACCUCAGCUGCUACCAUCAACCACCGCUUCCUCCAUGCUGCACUCUUUAGCACCACCACCAGCACUGGCAGUUCCAGCACUCGCCGGAUCUUCAAUCCUUUCUCCACAUAUCUCGGUGUCGCGGGAGCCUUGGUCUCUGCCGCCGCCGCCGCUUCUCUCUCUCAAGAAGUCCUCGCCAAGGAGCCACCACCGGCCGAGCUCGUGCCCAAGGAAGUUGUUCUUUAUCAGUAUGAGGCCUGUCCUUUCUGCAAUAAAGUUAAAGGUCUCCUUUUUAUAUGCAAGUUAGAAAUAAUUUUAUGAAUAUAGAGCUUUUUAGCUUUACAGUUCUUAAAAUAGUUGAUUUUUUUUGUUUGGUAAAAUUUUCAGCAUAUUUGGAUUACUAUGAUAUACCAUACAAAGUGGUGGAAGUGAAUCCUAUUAGUAAGAAAGAGAUCAAAUGGUCUGAUUAUAAGAAGGUACCUAUUUUGUUGGUAGAUGGCGAACAGCUUGUUGAUUCUUCAGGUUAUUUUCAUUGUGAUUUUUCUUAAAAAGGGAUUUUGAAUUGUGUUGAUGGAUUUUAUUUUGGUGGUGUAAAUUCCGGUUAUUGAUUAUGUUCAAUUGAAUGUGAGCAGCUAUAAUUGAUAAGUUGGGAAACAAGAUCCAUGGUAAGGAAAUUGUAGAUUCUGCUUCUGACAAGGAUGACGAUGAAGAGAAAAAGUGGCGGAGGUAUGGUGCCUCACUUUUGUAGCUUAGUUUUUUUUUCCGGUCAUUUUGGUUUCUUUGUUUCAAUGAAGACAGAGAUGCAUUACCGGUGUCAUAAAAAGGGAAUUUAUUAUUUAUUGUUAUCAUAUAAAAUGGGAAUGUUUAAAUUUAGGGCAAGUUAAUUUUGUUGGCAAUGUCUUAACCUUAGUAACCUUGUUCUUUUCUUUUGGUUAAAAAGACCUUUUUCUUUAAGUUUUGGAUUUGGUGUUUUAGGAAAAGCAUAUAAGUAAUGUAGAUUAGUUUUCCAUGAUUUUCAUGAACUCAGCUUUGGGUUCAUAUAUCUUUGUCAAAUUUCCAUCUGAAUCCAAGAUAUCUCUUCAAUUUAUAUGGGUCCCUGGUAUGAGUUCCUCUCUCCUUCAGUCAAAACCUACACGUUUACAUUUCAGCCUUACGUCUCCCUCCCAAAGUCUCAGAAUUGGUAAUCUAUAUCAGUUUCAGCAAUGGUUCUUCAUUAUUUGUAUCAAAUUGUAAAUCUAAUCAUACAGAAGAUACGGAAUGAGAGCUGUUCGAUCUUGAUGCAUUAGUUAUGGCUGCCUUGCUGGAUGAAAACUUAGCCCUGUAGCAGAUUGAUUGCUGUUGGGUAGGUUGUUCAGCUCGCCAUAUUCUAUCUGUGAUUGGUUUAAACCACCAACAUUUUCUCACUUGACCAUGAGUUCUUUAACCUCUCUCAAGUUGUGACCUCUUAAAAUAGGUGAUAGAAAAUUGUGUAGCUCAAAAAUUCAUAUCCCACACGUAGGCCAUUAUCCAAUUGCAAGCAUUAAAUUUCUAAGACUAGGGAGAGAUUUUCUCAUAAUUAUGGCAUCUUCGUCAUUGGAAUCAAAGGUUAACUUUGUUUCUUUCUUUUUGGUUUUUUAUUCUUUCAAAAUAUUUUUGGUCAUUUUAUGUGUUUUUAAAAGUUUAUAUUUUCAAAUAGAAGAACCAACUCUUUUUUUAUUCCCCAAUGUUGAUGGUUGUCCAAUAUAACUGGUGCUUCUCACGUGCUGUAACUCUGUACACCUUGAAUGUCAGCAUUUGCCAGCUACACUAGGUUUUUCCUAACUAACAUCUCAUUUUAGACUUGAAUUGAAAAUUUUAAAUGUGCAAAUGAUAUGGGAUAAAAGAGAUUUGAAGAUGAAGUAAUUAGCUAAGAAGAAAAGGCCAAAGAAAAAGAAGAAAAGGCCAAAGAAGAGAAGAAUGAGGGUUGGAAAAGUUUGCAAUUUUAUAAUUUUUAUCCAAUUCAUCAAAAUUGUCUAACAUUUAGAAAAAUAAGAUAUAAAUACUAAAAUCCUAAUUAGAAUAAACAAUUGAGUUCAUAGCCUAAUAAAUAAAAUAUUUAACAAUAGCUAAAUCAAGCUCAACAAAUAAAGCCUAAUUAAGAAACUUCAACUAAAAAUUCAAAUAAAUUAAACCAUAAAAACAUAAGUUAAAGUCUAAUCUCUCAAUGGUUUGGGCCACCCUCCAUCAUCUAUGAUCAUACAAGUGCAUAAUCAAUAUCUUGGGUCUGGUGUCCCCACUAACUAUCUUGGGAUUGGACAAACUCGAUUUCGUCAAGUCUAGUUCAAGACGGCUCCAAUAAUACUUCCAAAGAUCAUGAUCAAGUUGUUGCGAUGUCUCUCUAAUAAUCUAGGUAUAGUCUGAAUCUGGUUAUCUAGCUCAUAUACUGUGAUUCGCUGAAAUUUACAAUCUUUGGUAAAAACAACUUGUGCAUUCAAAGUAGCAUUAAUAUGUUCCUUUUGUGCCAACGAUAAGGAUAAAAGGGUAGUGAUAUUAAAAGGAGCAUUGGGAAUAGGCUAUCGUGUUUUAUAUAUAAUGAAGUCCUCCAUGUUAAAAGUAGAGCUAAUAUCAAAGUUUAGUGUCAAUUUAAUGACAUCAUUAUUUGAUUCAAUCAUUUGCAAUACUUUGAAUAGUCUAGCAUUACUCACUUGAAAUUUAUGACUAGUUUUCAAAGGACACUGUAUAGGUCUAAUCUGUAUUAUGAAAUAAUAUUUAACAUUAAGUGCAUCAUAAUACUUGUGUAAAUCAACUCUAAAUUUGUAUCGUUGAUUACUUGCUUAAAUAUGUUUUAUGAUCUUAACAUGCAAAUUAUGAACUCUAUAUGCAAAAACCUUAGCUGAAUCAGACCUUUUAGAGUGAGGAGACAUCGAAAGAAGAUCUAGAGGCUUUCUAGGUUUGUAACUAUGAACACUAAAUGACUGAGAAUGUGGAGUGAAACAAACACUAUUUAAAACUUUAGUAUAUAUAGCUUGAACAUAACAUAGUAAAUUAAGAUUAUCUUUAUCUUCCUCAUCACGUGUCAGGGGUAAGGGAUUGUAGAGCUCAACAUGUUGCUCUAAACUUAUGACGUGCUAGACGUCAAGCAUGAGGGGGGUGAGGAGCAUGCGGCUCUAAACUUUUGACAUGCUGGACGUCAAGCAUGGUGAGUGGGGAAUCAGGUAGUUUAAGAGGACUAAUAUCAUGAGACUCUUCUAAGAUUAUAUUUAACUCUUCAAGCAAUUUCACUGAUUUUUUUUCUAAAACUUAUGACUCUACCACUAAAAUAGAAUUACUAUAUUCUUUAUUAACCUCAUCUUCAUACUCAUUUGUAUUUAUAAUGUUAAGUUCCUCUUCUUGCACAUCUUCUUCAUCUAGGUCACUAAAGUCCUUAAGAUUAGGUUCAUACACUUGCACACAAUAGUUUUUCUUUUCACCUAUAUCCUUAUGUUCUUGGAUGACUAGGGUUUAGAGGUGCAAUUGAAGAAGAUAUGACCGAAAACUUGACAGUUAGCACACUGAACCUCUGAACUUAUUCUAGACAUUUCAUUAACGACUCUUUUUCCUUGUCUUCUUUAUAAAUUCGAGCACUACUGCGAUUAUGUCUAUAUGAUGGGUUGCCUAACAAAUAACUAUCAUUCCUAAAUUGAGAUCUAAAAAGGGUACUAUGAGGGUCUUAACAUUUUAUCAAUUGACUUAUUAUAAGCAACUCAUAAUCUUGUAUUACAAUAUAUGCUUGGUCAAGAGUGAAAUCACCUAUGAGCUAGAUCUCUUUUCUAAAAUCAUCAUUCAAACCUUUACAAAAUCUACGCAAAGUCAUGACUUCAUUUUUUUAUGGCACAUCUCAUCAUGUAAUCGUUAAACUAUGUUAUAUACUCAUUGAUAGACUUGUUCCUUUGUCUUAGAUUGUUCCAUUGGUCUUAGAGUUUAUUUCUACAAGACUGAAAUAUGUACUUAUCUUGUAGUUUUUGUUUCAUUUUGGUCCAAUCAGUUAUAAGAGGUUUACCUUUUAUCUCUAAACAAAUCAUCAACAUCUCUCCAAUAAAGUUGGACUUCACUAAUAAGUAUCAUCUUAGCAAAUCUAACUCUUUUAUUAUCAGACAAGUUGUGCCACUCAAAGAAUUGAUCCAUGUCAUGAAUUCACAUAUCAAAUAUCAAAGGGUCAUGACGACCCUCAAAAGUGGAGGCUUCUAUUUUGUUAGGACUCAUGACUCGCUCAUCAAGGUAUUCGUAUUUAAAGUAACCUAAAUGAUAGUCAUGUUGGUGGUGCUCAAGGUGAACUUGUCUACAAUGAUUAUUGUUGUGAUAUGUAUUGGUCUUUGGGUACCUUAUUUGAGAACUCUCUUGGGGUUCAAUUCUUUUAAACAUGUUGGUCACCUGAGUUUGCAUAAGCUGUAAUUCCCUAAGUGUAUCACUAAUGGUCAGGUCAAUGAUAAGUGUAGAUUCAAAGUUAGAUACUAGAUGACCAUGACGCAAAUGCAUGUAAUACUAAUAUAGAGAUGAAAUUGAGAUCACAAAUGGCUCUUGCAAGCGGAAUCAUAAUAUAAAAAUAAAGAUAACAACAUUUUUUUUUCUUAUUGUGGAGAUCAAUAAAAAAUGGAGCACACCGGGAAAAUUAGAAGCAUGCAAUGCUAGACAUUCAAAGUAUAAACAAAAAAUCAAACACAAUAUCAUAGGCACAAGCUUACAAUUAUCAAAGGGGACAAGAUACUAGAUAUCAAUGAUGAAAGCGUUGAUGAACAAAAAUUAAAAGAUAAAAAUGUAAGGUAGAACUUUUUUUAGGCGCAAAAGUAAUAUUAACGACAACUUGAAAUAACAAAUGUAAAAAGCAGAAAAUUAAAAUUCAAGGAAUUAGAAAGUAGAGUAAUUCAAUGACCGAGACUCAAAUCAUUAAAUUUGAUUGCAAAUAACUUUGAAUCGUUGAUGUCAUAAUGUCCUGAAUAUUGUCCUUUUGUUGUUUUCACUUUCCCUCUUUUUUUUCCCUCUGUUUUAUUUAUUUCACUUUUUUUUUUCUCUUGACCACUUUUUUUUGUCACGGAUCUCUCUCUCUCCUUCUAUUUUGACUUUUGAUUUUUUUUUUAAUAAAUCAAUAUAAAAGAUAAACUAAAUGAGGGUUGAAAAAAUCUGUUACUUUGCAAUUUUUAUUCAAUUCAUCAAAAUUAUCUAACAUCUAGAAAAAUAGGAUAUAAAUACUAAAAUCCUAACUAGAAUAAACAAUUGGGUUCAUAGCCCAAUAAAUAUAAUACAUAACAAUAGUUAAAUCAAUCCCAAUAAAUAAAGCUUAAUUAAGAAAUCACAACUAAAAAUUCAAAUAAAUUAAACCUAAAAACAUAAGCUAAAGCUCAAUCUUUCAAUGGUUUAGGCUAUCCUCUAUCAUUUAUGAUUAUACAAGGGCAUAAACAAUGUCUCUGGUGUCCCCACCAACAAAUAAACUUGUUGAUCGACAAAAACAAAAAAUAGAAAAAAGAGGAAAAUCAAAUAGAAAUUCCCAAAAAGCUGGCUGACUAAUUUUUGCAGUUAUUUCCUAUAAUUUUGCUUCUGCAUAUAGAUGAAGUUAUGGAACAUUUGUAGAAUUGUUUUUGGCGACGUGCAUGCUUGUGAUCUGAUGCAUACAUAAUUUUCUAUUGUAAGAAAAUCAAUGCUCUCAUACUCUUGCACAUGCCAUGCUUACAUAAUUUGGUCAACAUGUUUAUGCCAUUUUUGGUUGAUGUUCGUAAAACAGUUAUCAAUUUGUCACGUUUUUGUUUCUUUUCUUUCUUUGUAAGCACAAUACUGGUUAGAUUUUAGUUGUUGCUGGCAUGCCAAUGCUAGAUCUUGACAUAUUAUUUAUUGCUUAUUUAGGUGGGUUGACAAUCACUUGGUUCAUGUCUUGUCUCCAAACAUAUAUCGAAAUACUUCUGAGGCUCUUGAAUCUUUUGACUAUAUCACAAGCAAUGGUAAGAUGAUCCAUGGAUAUGCAUACCUGAAUGAAACAGUAGUUUCCCUACAGCUGACUCUUGUGGGAAAGAGAUCUUUGGUUCAGUUUAUGCUUUUUUCCAUUUAUAACUUUGUGCGAUGAUUUAUAAUUAUUUACCUAUUGGUAUAUGGUUCCAUUUUUUUCUCAAUCAUUAAACGAGGAAAGUCUGGUAUGUUUCUCCUUAUAAUAGUUGCUCCAUAUGCUCAUGAUGCCUUUGAAAAAAUAUUAUAAUAUUUUUGGGAAACAUUGUGAUUAACUACCUAUCAGAGUCCCCUUUUCUUCUACAUAUUUCUAUUCAUGUUCAUUUGCAAAGCUUUUGUUUGUAGAUUACUCUUAACUUCAUUGAUUAUGUUGAAAAACAUAAUAUGCCACCUUAUUUGAUUUGCUCGGGAAGGCUUUUCCACUCAAUUUUAUUCCCUGCUGGAUAACGUGAACAUGAGUUACCUAGAUUACUCAUAACUUUGUUGCAUUGAUGAUUAUGGUGAAAAACAUGAUAUGCUUGACAGUAUGCAUACACUUUGUAAAUCAACAGACCAUUUAAAUAUCUUUUUUCUAUAAAACAUUGCCAAGCAAUGAUCAUAUAAGUUAUCUGCACCAAAAAAUAAAAAUAAAGAAUUGAUGUGCGAAGUUUGAUAGUUAAGAAGUAAAGUACAGAUUGUCACCUGCAUAUACUAAAUGCACCAUUGUUUAAGAUUUUCAGUUAGUUUAAUAGUGACCAAGUUUUUAUGUGUUGACAUUCAUCAUACUUAGCAAUAAGAUGACCAAGUUCCUGGGCAGUUUCUCCUCAUAGUCUAUUCUUUAGAAAAUUAGAGUUGGUGUCUUAGAACCACUGAUAAUUACAAACUUGUCUCUAAGAACAUUUUCCCAGUAAGAGCAAAGGGAGAGAAUAUUUUGUCUUCAAGAGCAAUCUUAUUUUGAGGGCAACAUUGAUGUGGCUGGUGUAGAACAUUAUGUCAGGAUAUUAGAAACAAAAUGACUUGACACCUCUGUUUCAUUGGGAAUUUCUACAUUAUUAUACUUUUGGUUGUCAGAUAAUUAAUCCCAUUAACUUGUCUUUAAUAUUUCAGAAAUGGUCUAUGGCUCCAUCAAGCUUUAAUCAUGCUGUUCUGUUUUCAAUGCUUUGUGUCCCGUCUCUCGUCUAAUGUAAAUAUGUGAGUUUGUUAUUUUGAGGAACCUUUGAAGAUCAGAAAAUUAAUAAUUGUAUUGAAUUGUUUCAUCCGGGGAUCACAACUUCCUUUAGUCAUUCCUUUCAUUUGAUUGCAAGUGACAGUUAUCAUUUCAUUUAUGAUUACUUCAUCAUCCUGUACUCAUCCUCAUAUAGGUUCUAGGUAACUUAUUCCAAGUUAAUGUUGUUCAUAGAAUUAUGCUUUUAAGGUUCACUCUGAUUCUGUUCAAAAUUAUCUGUGAGAUGGCAUAUAUUUUGUCCAUUUAUCUUGAUUUCAUUGUAAACUUCUCCUGUAAAUGCAGGUAAUUUUAGCUUUACAGAAAGAAUCACAGUCAAGUAUGCCGGAGCUGCUGCAAUGUAUUUUGUGUCCAAGAAUUUGAAGAAGAAAUAUAACAUUACUGAUGAACGUGCUGCCCUGUAUGAAGCUGUGGAAACGUGGGUGGAUGCUCUAAAUGGCCGAGAGUUUCUUGGUAUGCAGCUGACAUAAUAUCAUAUUAAUGCACAUGACUUGCAUACUAUAUGUAUAUACAUGUGCACGCUGCCAUAUCAUUUUAUAUUGUAAACUCCAAUAAAAAAACCAAACCAAAAGUAAUGGGAGAACAGAUGGUUUCCAAGGCCAGGCCUCCAUCCUGCGCAAUUGAUCUGCUUUAUCCCAUAGAAAGCUAAGAUAACUUUCACAACUGUUUAAAGCUAAGAUUCUGAUUUAAACCUUUGCACAACCUUUCAAAGUUGUGUGUGACAGAUAUAUUUAUGUUUUUUCUUAUAUGCCACAGGGGGGUCAAAGCCUAACUUAGCUGACCUUGCUGUCUUUGGGGUAUUGAGACCCAUCCGCUAUUUGAGGUCUGGUAGAGAUAUGGUGGAGCAAACUCGAAUAGGGGAUUGGUACACAAGAAUGGAGAAUGCUGUGGGGGAGUCCUCAAGGAUGAAGGCAUAGAUUAUGCACUACUCAUUUUAACUUCCAGCUUCUACAACCACGGUAUUAUGAACACGAACCAAAAGAUUUGAUAAUGAUUUUGAUGGCUAAACAAUUUUGUGAUGGAAGAAUUUGAAGCUGAAGCUCAUUUUUAAAAACAUGAUUACUGUCGUAUAAUUGGAGAGAGAUAGGAAAAUAAAGAAAUUUUACACGUGGAUUGUAAAACUACCCAUGGAUCAUCGUAUUCUUAACUGGUACGCUACACAGCUAUCAUUCUUUAUGCUAUUUUGGUCCUUUUGUUUGUUGAAUAAGCUAUGGCUGUUCAAUUUCUGUUAUUUUACCGGGGCCUUGGCUGUUCAAUUUCUGUUAUUGAUAGCAUGGGUGGCAGCAAAGCUACUUCAGAUUUGUUUGUCAUGGGUGUUAGAAAGUUGGAAAAAGACUAAUGAGGUGAAAUUCUUGCUCGAGCCCUCGGAUGAUGAAUAGAAUUGGUUUGCCUCUUGAAUAACACCCUGCGUAUUUGGUUAGACUAGUUUUCUGUUUUAAGAACAACUACAUUUGGCACAACAUCACCUUAAUAUCUGCAGUUACGGGAAAGAUCCUACUUCACAUCAAGUUUUGAAGGCUCGAGCGCAUCUUCUUGUCACCAUGAUGCAAUUCUCUUCCCAGUUUUUGAUGGGUGUCCCAGUCUGGUGUGCUUUUCCUACAAAGCAGCCAGCGAGGGAAUUGGAUUUUCUUGCGUAUGUGCUUGGAUGGUGGACUGAAUUGAUUUGGCGGUUGAAACUCCUGCAUAUUUUGUUGAGCCUGAGCUAGGAGAGGAGGAUUUUGAUUUUCUAUCCUUGAGAACAAAAGAAAAGAAAACGUUGCUGUGCUCAGUUCUCUCACAACAAUGCUUUUGUUUUUCUUCUAAUUAGUGCGCACUGAGAUAGGAAGCAUUUGCUUACAGGUCUUCGCCAUCAGCGGUUUUUUAACAGAACUACAAACAACCAUAUGGAUCACAAAUGCUUCUUCACAUGGGACAAUGGGAGUGACAGGUGACUUGGGACUUGAGAUUUCCUUGCACAAUCAUAAAAAACUGUCUUCGGGAUAGAGUUAUCUCAUUGUCUUUAGGACAAGGGGGGUCAAAGACUUCAGAUUUGCCGGACCUUGCUGUGCUUGGAGUCAUAAGACUCAUCAGCACAUUUAUGUUUGGUGGAGAUAUGGCGGAGCUCGCUUGAAUGGGGGAGGAGGACAUAAUAAUGGAGAAUACUGUAAGGGAGUUUUCAAGGUUUUGAAUUCACAACAUGAUCUGUACUUAUGGAGUUUCUGUAUCACCAUGCUAUAGGACAACUUAACCGAAAGAAACCAAGAUUCUGUAACAAACGGUUUUAGAUCCUAUAAACAAUGGGUGUCGAUGAUUGUUUUCAUUAUUCAGAUCUUAAAAACCAUGAGCAGUAUUGUCGUGGUAAGAAAUUUAAGAAGAAAUAUUCAAUCCACAUAGAAUGCUGGUGAUGUGCGCUCUAAAAAUCAAAGAAAAAAUGGCUUAAAAAAUAAGUCAAAACAAAAAAAAACAAAACAAAAAAGGCUCCAAAACUCCAAGACAUGAGAGAGUAACACCUCCCUGUUAGAAGUAAAUAAAAACUGAAAAACUGAUUAAAUCGAGAAAAUAAAAAAAAUAACUAAAAAAAUUAAACUAUAAAAAAACUGAUUAAACCGAUUAAAAUAUUUUAAAAAAUAUUCAAUUUGAUUCGGUUUCAUAAACUUGAAACUGAAAAAAUAAAAAAAUCAAACCAAGCCGAAGCUAAGCCCAUUAAAAAAUCCAAAAAACCCCCAAAAAACAAUAUAGUUUUUUGUUUUUAAUAUAAAAUAACCUAAACCAAACCGAACCGCACCAAAACCAAACCGAACAGAACAAAAACUGGUUGGUUGAGUUUUAGUUUUUAAUAUAAAAUAACCGAAUCGAAACCGGUCUGUUUAAACCGGUUUCGGUUUUUUUUUGUAUUUUACAAAAUUUCAGUUUAAUUGUUUUUAUAAGUAAAAAUCAAACCAAACCAAAAAUAUUAGCUUCUAUCUACUUCACAUUAUACAUUAUGGGUACAUCAACUUCUUCAUAUCUCCGACAACAACUAACACAACAAGUGAGGAUACUCAUGAAAGCUUUAUUAACAACCUGAGGAACUCAAGUUCUUGCCUCUUCCUCCACAAUUGGCUCUCAUUGGCUGCACCACCUGCACCUCUACUGCCCAUAUAUAACUCCAAUUCAAAGAAGAAACAAGUCAAAACAAUGUGCACUAGAUAAAAGGAGUGUUACCAUCCUCACAUCCCAUAUAAAAGCCACUCUCGCCAUUAUAAAAAGCGUUAUCCAAGUGGAUAUAUACUCCAAGCAUAACAAAAACAAGUCUAAGGAACAUUUAGUAUUAAGUCAUUGUCAUCACCACCUCUCAUCAAGAACUUUCUUUGAAAGUUUGUACAGAGAAAGAUCUUGGAGGGAAGCUCGUUUCAUGAUUAUAAAAACCCUCGAUAUGGAGGUGUAUAUCCAUCGCUACGUGAGAGGUUCUCUGUUGGCUAAAUGAGUAAGGACCCCUCUUUUCCUGAUGUUCACAAUUGAUGGUACAGUACCUAUCAUAUUCUCUUAAUUCGCCAUAAUAGAUGGAUUUGAUUAAAACUUGUAGUGUUUUGAUUGUUUUUAUAAACUUUUGAAGAUCAUAUUCAGAAGUCUUUCCAUAUACAUCUACGUAGGCACUCUUUGUUUUUGUUGAAAUUGAAGGAAUAAAACACUAUGGUUUGUAUUAUUUGGUGAGAUAUAUAAUUAACCUCUUGAUAUCAAAGCAGUUAAUGACACCAAGAGCCCGUGCAGGCAUCCAUGUGAAUCUUCCAGCAUUUCAAAAGUUGGACUCUGCUUAUUGUUGGCAACCUCUUCAUUCCUGAAAUGGAGAUUAACAGUGAAUGAGAAGUAAUUCAUAGAGAUUGUUUUGGCUUUAAAUCUUAGAAUUGAUGGUCGCUACCCUCUUGGUAUCGUAAAAUUCUCGUCAAAUUUGGCAGGAAAAUUGCUUAUUAAUACUCUUUUUUUUUUUUUGAGUUCAUGUUUCACCUUCCAAGCUCUCCCUUUGACUUUACACAUUUUACUGUAAUGUUAUGCAUGUUUUUUUAUCAUCAAAAGGCUGUUGUGGGUUUGGUUUCAGUGACGCAUAGGAGCUUCAAGAUGAAUGGGAAAAUGGGGUCUCUUCGAUGAGUUGUUAUUGUGCCAUUAUUGCUAGGUCUUCACAACUUGAAUAUGGUUUUGUUGGGACAGCCAUGACUCUGCCUUUUGUUUCAAUCAACCUUUUUUUAAGGAAGACAGCAAUCUCCUCUCUUUUUUUCCUCUUAUUUUGUUCAUUGCUUCUUUGAGAAAUCUACUGUAGUGUUCAGCUUGCAUUUACAUUCAUUGCUUGUUUUGUGCAGACUAGCUAGCUUUCGACUCCAUGCCACCUGUUUUUGCUUGGCAUGUAGCAGACUGGGAGCUUGCUUUUGCGUCUCUCACUGAUCAUAGCUGCCUUCAGUCGCACCAGCUCCAACAACAUGUGUUUGUCGAGCCCUCCUUACAUCCAAAUUUUAUGUUGCAGUCUCCCUCGAGUGUUUUAUUUUAGUUUUUUUUCUUUCAAUUUUUCUAUUUGUUAACAAUUUUAGCCAAAUUAGACUCCAAUCAAACCCUCACGAAGCAAGAUUAAAAGAAAUAAAGAAAGAAAGGAAAGGGAAAAAAAAAUAAUCUCAGUUUAUAACAGAGUUAUCAAUUUUAUUUCGUUCUAUUUAGAAUACUUGAUAUAUCUCGUUCUAGUUUAAAAAAUUAAACAAACUGGAACAGAUUUCAUCUCACUCAGAAUCUCAGCUCGUUUUAUAAAUUUUGACCAAAUUCCAAUUGGAACGUUCUGGUUUUGUUCUGAAUGUUCCGUUUUAGUCAAAUGAUUUAAAAAAAAAACAUAUUAUUUAGUUUUACAGUAUCAAUCAUAUCUCUCAAUCCAACCUUUGUUCAAGUUAGAAUUUUACAAUGAGUCUCCUAAUAUAUUAUUAUAUCUCAAGUUAAAAUUUUAAAACAAUCGGGGUUUAGAAAGGCCUUGUGAAACUGUCAAUGAUAUUUUCAUAAUUUCAUUCAAAUUUGUAAUUUUAUUUCAAAAAGGUUAUUUUUUGUUUUUUUUAAAUUGAUUUUUUUUUCAAUUUCAUCAUUCAAAUUUAUUGAGAAUUGAUUUUCAUGCUUUAUUUUGAUUUGUUUUAUUUGAGGUUAUUGUGGUCUUAUGAUCCGGAUCAUGAAUUUGAAAGGUUAACCCGAGUUUAUCAAUAUGUUGUUGUCUCAAUAUUUUUUUAAAAAAAUAUUUCAUCUUGAAUUUUUUUUAGUCGAAUUAUAUUUUAAUCAAUCGUUCAGGUUGUUUUUAGAUUCGUUGAGUUGUUCAGGUUAUAUUGAUUCAAAUCCUUUUUUUUAUUUAUGUUUGAAAUUCACAGUUUUAAGUUAAUUUAUUAUUAAAUUUAAAUUAUGUUUGUUAAAUUAAUAUAUAUAUAUAUAUAACUCCAAAACAACACGUCAAAAACUGCAUGCCACGACACUCCAAAAUCCGUUCCAAUUGAAAAAACAUACCGCAAACUGAAACGGAAUGACAACCUUGAUCCACAGUGCUUUGGAAACAAUAUUUCCCCAUUUCUUAAAAAAAUAAAAAUAGUAAGCAAUUAAAAGCUAAAAACGGCUGGCUUGCUCUUCUGCUUCGGUGUUUUGUUGGGCAAUUGAAACAUUAGGGUUUCUUCGGCGACCUGCGAAUCAAACUCCCUAUAGAUUAUCUUGGCGGAAAGAAAAAGGUAACUUUCUUGCAUCACUUAAAGUGAAAUUCAAUUCAAUCCAAUCCCCAUGUUUUAUUUUCUCAGCAAAUCCGUUCUCCAGUAUGGGAGACACACUGCUGCAGUUUCACCCACCCACAAGCACUUUUCAUUUCAACUCUCACCUUCAACUAUCACUAUUAGAUUCUUCAUCUCAACCCUUGAAAAUCCAAAUAAACACUCAUUUGCAGCCUCUUAUCUCAUAAGCAAAUUUGGGUUCUCUCCUGAAUCUGCUCUUUCAGCUUCUAAACAUCUCAAUUUUACAACCACAGAGAAACCUGACUCUGUGAUUCACAUUUUCAAGCACUAUGGUUUCUCUCAGGUUCAAACCUUAAAACUCGUUAAAAAAUACCCACGAGUGCUUUCGUGCAACCCUGAGAAAACCCUUUUGCCUAAACUCGAGUUUUUCCACUCUAAAGGCAUGUCAAACAAUGACAUUGCACGCAUUUUAUGUACAUAUCCUCAUAUUUUAGUUAGAAGCUUGGAAAACUGUAUAACUCUUAAUUUUAACUUCCUUGGCAAUUUGCUUCAAUCUAAUGACAAGACAAUUGCUGCUGCUAAAAGAUACUCGCCUAUUCUAUAUCAUAAACCCGAUAGAUUCUUGAAACCUUGUAUCGACAUUUUGGAAGAGUAUGGAGUCCCCAAAAAGCAUAUUGCUUCAUUGGUUCACCGUUGGCCUAGGUCUGUCAUGAUGUCUCCGAAUUAUCUGAGAAGAAUUGUAGAGAAGGUGAGAGAAAUGGGAUGUGAUCCUCUUAAGCCACAGUUUACUACGGCAGUGAUGGUGAUGAGUCUAUUGAGCGAAUCUGGGUGGGAAAGGAGGCUGGGUGUUUAUAAGAGUUGGGGUUGGUCUGAGGAAGACGUUCAUGCUGCUUUCAUAAAGGAGCCUUGGUGCAUGAUGACAUCAGAUGAUAAGAUUAUGGCAGUGAUGGAUUUUUUGGUCAACAACAUGGAUUGUGAGCCUUCAUUUAUUGUGAAGAACCCCUAUCUUUUGAAGCCAGGCUUGAAGACAACAUUUAUACCAAGAGCUUCAGUUGUUCACUUUUUGUUAUCGAAACAGUUGAUUGAAACGAAGCCAAACUUGGUUACUCUGUUUUUGUGUUCUGAGAAGAUGUUCCUUGAGAAAUUCGUGUAUCGUUUUGAAGAAGCCCCUCAGCUAUUAAAGCUGUAUGGAGAUCAAUCAAAUCUUUCAAAAUGACAUGGAAAUGUAACCAUUUUGUGAAUCGUUUUUCUCCCUACAGAUUUCGUUGGAUACUGUAAUGCAACUACAAGGGUAAGUUGACCUCAGUUUUUGGCUUCCUUAUUCUUCAAUUUCUCAAUUGAAGCUCGAUUUGAGUAAUGUGGUAUUUCAUCGCUCUCUUAUGCAACUCCACUGCUACAUUUAUUUUGGUGUCUUUUAUAAGUGAGUUUGUUUACCAGCACAAAGGAAAAGAUGAUGGCUUCUGUUCUCUGGUGUCUUCCUGAGAAGACAUGUGCAUCCAUUAAUUGGUGGAGUUAUCUUCAUCUUCCAUUUCAAGCAUAUCAAAGUCAUGCUGUAGUGGAAUUGGUGUUGAAAAACACUACCUGUAUGGUGAAUUUUGAGCAGUCAUGGAAUGAUUGAGAGUCCAUAUGCUAGAAUGCAGAUAGAUUAAGGAUUUUGAAUUCAAUGUUCCACAUCUAAACUCAAUCUCAGCAUUCAUUAGCAAUUGCAUCUGCCUAUGAUGCAUUGCAGUAACGUUUACAGGAUGUUAGUAACGUUUACAGGAUGUUAGAUGUUGAAGGUACAAAAGACUAGGACCCUGGCUGUCUGCAUGUGCCUAGGGUCUAGCUCAAUUUUUGUGUAUCCGCAUUAUUAUGUUCAACUUAUUGAAUCAGUCCCCACCACUUUACUAGAAUAAUUCUAAUCUUAUUUUCAUGGGAACCGUCUACCCCCAGCAUUUUUUUCAGUGCUCCUCAAUUUUAGUAUAUAGUAGAUGAUCGGUUAGAAAAGUUUAAAAUUAGAUAAAUAAUUUAAAUAUAAAUAACUAGUUUUUUAAAUUAUAAAAACUAAUUCAUGUAUAAAAUCAAUUAAGAAGAAACUUUGGUGGAAUAAAAGUAAUAAAAUGCUCAUGAGGAGAGUAUGAAAAAAUCAUAAUGCCACUAGGGAAGUUUAAAGAAUCAAUAUUUGAUAUGUUUUGAUAAAUAGGUGUUAUGCUAAUGUUUUAUUAUUCUAAACUCGUAUUUUUUUUUCUUAAUUUCUAUAUAAUAAAUUUAAAUCUUAUAUGAGUUAAUUAUUAGUUAAACUAGGUUGCAUGAUUUUUAAUAUAAUACCAAUGCGAUGACAAUGAAAAAGGUUAGGUCAUAUGACAUAUAGAUGUGGAAAAGGUAUAAACCAAAGUAUAUUGCAUGUGAGUGAUUGGCAAUGCAUCUUAAAUUUUUGGUAUUGAAAAUUUUUACAAAGCACUCAAGAUCUAGUAAACAAAAUUGAAAUAAAAAAAACUCAUGGUUUGAUGAGCAAGUAUACUGAAAGAGCAGUUAUGUUUAUCCAUAAUGAAAAUGUUUAGUAAGAGUUCAUAAUGAUAUAUUUUAUUUUUUUUCUUGAAGUUUUAAUUACAUUUCUAUCGGUGAGAGUUUUAACAAAUUAUUUAAUUUGCUGGAACAAAAGCUUGGUCAAGAACGGACUCUAAUGCAUUAUAUGAGAAAAUCAUAUCAUGAAGGGGGAUAUAGGGAAAAUGGAGAAAACAUUACCAAUAAAAAAGUGGAUAUAUUCAUUGUAAGGGUUUUGAUAGUUAUAAUUGAAUUAAGAUUAUUUAUUCAUCUCAAUAAUAUGAAAUAUAAAUGAAUUUUGAAACUUGAUUUUUUUUGUUUCAUAUGAGAGGUGUAAUGCCAACAUGGAGAAGGAAUUUGAAAAGGAUAUUUUAACCCAUCCUCCUCACAAUCUCAAAUGUAGUUGGAGGCUACUGCAAGUGAUGGACCCAAUAAUCGAGGUGUCCCCUAUGAAUACAAAAUCAACUUAUUACAAUUAUUGUUUUCUAUAUAAUAAUUUUCUUAAUGAUACAUUUCACAUCAUGAAUUAAAUAUUUCUCCUCUCGAUUCCUAUAUGAAAGAAAACUUUCUUUCUCAUCAUUUCCAUUUUUAGCUGAAACAGCCUUAUAGUAAUCCAAGGUGUGUGUAUUUGUUUUUCUUUUAUUUUUCGUUGUCUUAAACCCUCAUUUUUUUUUGUUUCUUUGUAUAAGUUCAAGAACACAAUCGAACACAAUUAUAUACACAUUUCAACCAUUAAGCCAAACAUAUUAUUAAUUACAUUCAUGAUUUUUCUUUAAUUAUUUUGCAAAUUUCAUCACUUAUCCAUACAUUAAAAUCCUUUAACAACACAAUUAAACAAAACUUCCACAACAUUAAAAUUACCAAAACUCAUCCUUCUUUUCCCCAAUGUUGGCCAAAACAUAUAGAAAAAGAAACAUGAUCCCUUUUCAAAUUUUCUUUUAAUUUCACAUUACACUUUAGUCAUUCAUAAUCAACAACACUUUUUAAAAUUAAAAAUAGCAUUCCAAUCAUUUUAAUCACACAACUAUUACUAGGGGUGUUCAAAAAAACCGAUUAAUCGAGAAAACCAAAAAAACCGAUGAAAAAUUAACGGAGAAAACCGAACCGAAAUGGAAAAUCGAUUUUUAAAACCAUAAAAUCUUGCCGGUUCGGUUUGGUUUCGGUUUUAAAACAGAAACCGGUGAACCAAACCGAACCAACCAUAAAAUAAAAGAGCUAUAAAUACUACAAUCUACAGUUAACCUAACCCUAAUAACAUAACACGAAAAGUCGUCGCCUAGACCAUAGACUAUUUUUUGCUUUCUUCCUUUCCCUUUCAAUUUUCAUCCACUAUACCCCUUGCAUCUGUCUCUUCUCUAGCCGAACAAAAACCCACAUCUCCAUCUUCUUGGCUUCUCUCUUCACUUCUCCUUGGCUUCUCUCUUCACUUCUGAACAAAAAUCCAGACAAAACGGAACCCACAAUAGCCAAAAGCUACUUCUGUACAAGCUGGUUGGUUUCCUUCCAUUACUAAUGUUUUGAAUCAGUCACAAGGGAGAAAGAAGAACGAAGAGAUUAUUGCCAAGGUCACAAACUAGAGCACCAGGGAACAACACCCUUCUCUGAAGAGCCCAUAACAUACUCCUUUGAAGAGCUUUUUGGGUGAGGCAAGCAUGGAAACCAAAUCCAAGCCACUAAAUGCUAAGGAAAUCCUAGUUGAAAAGAAUGGCCUCGUAGCUAAAGAUAACGAUGUUUUGCCUAAAAAAAUUUAAAAAUCUCAUUAAUUUGAUGAUUAGGUUUCCCGGUUUUAAAGCAAAAAACUGAAUUUAACCAAACUGAACCGGUUCGAUUUGAACCGCAAUUCAGUUUGGUUCGGUUUGAAUUUUCAAAAAUUUAAGUUACUCGGUUCAGAUGGUUUUUGUGGUUUAAACCGAACCGAAUCGAACCAUGAACAGGUCUAACUAUUACCAUUACAUAACAUAUAUAUUCAUACUAGAUUUUAUCAAUGAUCUAUCAAAUUUUUAUAAUCUUCUUUAGGGCUAUUUUUCCUUAUAGUCUUAAUUAAUACUUCUAUGGAAUAAAUUAUUAAACCAACAUUAAAUCACAUCUUGUAUUACCAUGAUUCUAUCAAGAUGCAAUUUACAUCAUUAAUUUCAAUCAAAGAGAUUUCUCAUUUUCUUCUUACUUUAGGCCGGCCAUCCAACACUUGGGACCAUAAAUUAUUCAAUGUUUUUCUAUAUUUUCACAUCUAUUACAACCCAUAAUACCUUAAUUAAGUUAAUUCCACAUACAAUUGCAUUUCCCUUAAUUCUUCCCCAAGAACCUUAAUCCAUAUUUCCCCCAACAUGCUCUAAAAUAAUUAAAUUAUACUCUAACAUGUAUAUUUAAGUUUCAAGUACCUUAGCAAUCAAUAAUUUGAACUUUGAAAUGCAACCAGUCAAAAUUUUUUCUUUUCUUAUUUCUUCUUCCUCGGCUUUCUCUCAUUAAGUCCACUUUUCCUUUUUUCUAUCCCUCUUAAUUUGAAGCUUAGAUGUUUUUCUUUUUCAUAAACUAACUUUACUACUCUUAAACCUUAAAUCUUCUCACAAUUUAAAGGAAAAACAAAAAGAUUUGAAGAAUUUCUCCUCCCUCUAUCUACUAGCUGGUCGCCGGCCUCCCUUACAAUUAAAGAUGGAGGUUGACCUUUUUAUAUUUAUGUUUUCCCCCCUCAAAUCUCUCAUUUCUCUUUUGGUUAUUUCAUUAAUUUUCAAAAAUUUAAAUAUUACAAUUUAAUUUCUAUUAAUUCACAAAGUUAACCUUCCUAUUCUUUACUUUUCUUUCAUAAUCUAUCAUCAUGAAACAUUUCCAUUGUUAUUGUUAUUGUUAUUAUUUCCCGGGGCUUACAAGUAAAGCUUUGCUAUAAGGUUUAGAAGCUAAUGUGCAAGAUUUAUAUUAGUUUCCUACUUGAUUUAGGAUUUGUUUUCUAUUUUAUUUAGAAUUUUAUUAUUAUUUUUCUAGCAUUAUUUAUGACCUUUUUUAUCUAUCAUAAAUGAGGUUAUUUAGCUUGUAUUUAGGUUUUUCUCUUAUAAAUUAUGAUUUUAGAGUAAUAUUUAUGUGUAUGAGGCAAACUCAUACUUUUCAGUUCUUAAAAGAACUGAAAUUGACUUAUCGAAGAACAAUUAUCUAGUGAUGUCUUCCUUAUAUGUCUCAUUUGCAAUUUUCUAAUCGUUAGGUGAGGAUUUGAAUUCUAAUAAUGUUGGUUCAUCGAUUCAAGAUAAUCAUUGUGCCAUGCUUUCUAGCUCAAAUCUGAUUUUUAGUUUCCCAAAUUUCUUUGUGAGUUUUUACAUCUUAUAUCAACAGGGUUUGCAUCAGUGAUGGCCUGAAUUUCAACUUGGUAGAAAACAUUUAAGAGUCUUUAAAAUUGUACGUAAUUUCAAAGACUAGAGGUGGCAACUAUUUGGGGGGGGAGGGAUAAAAGAAAACUUAAUAGCUUGGCAAUUUGUUUUUUUGAUUAAUGUAGGUGUUCGGGUCAGCUUGCGCGUACCUUUACUAAUCCCACGAGCCUUGAAGUUAAUGACUAUGUAAGUCUUCAGUGGUCCCGAGGUUUGUGAGAUUUGAACUGGUGAUCUCUAGAGAGCAAACUCAGGAUCUGACCAGUUGAGUUACACCUCUCAAAAUUGAAUAGCUUGACAAUUGAUAUUUGAUCAACUAGUAGCUUUAAGAUUUAUGGGGUUCGAACUAGUGAUUUUUAAAAAACAAAUUCAGGAUUUAAUCAAUUAAGUUACACCUCCAAAAUUAAAUAGCUUACUAUUGAUAUUUGAUUUAUUUAUGAGCUGCAUAGUCUCCAUAAUAAAACAAAUGUCUUUUAUGAUUCCUCCGAGAGUAUACAACAAGCUUAUCUUAAAAUCAUGUGGUCUAGAUGAUCCAAGGGUGUAUAAAUACUUGAAGAUUAUCAAGUACUAGAUAUAAAGAAAUAGAUCCAUACUUAGAUAUAUAUAUAACUUUUCAAAAUCACCCUUACCAGUAUUCAUUGCUAUGUUUUUUUUAUUUUACUAAAUUAAAUAUCAAAAAAUUCUAAAAGAAAAAUUUAAACUAGAUAUUUCAGCUUAUUAAAUAACAUUAAAAAGCCCAAGUUCAUCUGAAAUUUUCACAACUUUAAAUAUAUAAUAAUAAUAAUAAUAAUUAAUUGAAAAUAAAUAAUAAAAAUUAAAAUUAAAAAAUUACGAGAAUUAAAAGUUAAAAAUAACUAAUGUGGCAAAAAAUGUUUCUAUACAAGUAUUUUUAAUAAAAAAUAUAUUAAAAUAAUAUUUUAUUAGUAUUUUUUACAUCAACAAUAUUAUAUUUUUAAGAGGAUAUUUAAAAGUGUGGUUGAGAUUGUUUUUUAAAAUAUUUUUUAUUUAAAAAUGUAUAAAAAUAAUAUAUUUUUUUAUUUUAAAAAAAUUAAUUUUAACAUUAAUUCAUUAAAAUAUUCUGAAAAUAUAAAAAAAAUAUUAAUUUAAAAUAAAAAUUUUAACUUUUUUUAAAUAUACUCUUAAAACAUAACAACAACUAAACGGGCCAGCUCUUUCUGAAGCAGUGAUUUGACGGGCAAUUAAAACAUUAGGGUUUCUUCGGUGCAAGUUCAAGAUUCGCUCUGCGAAUCGACCUCCUUGUAGAUUCUCUUGACGAAGAGAAAGAGUUAAACUUUCUUGCAUCCCUCAAUUCCCAUGUUUUAUUUCCUCUACAAAUCCCUUCUCCAACAUGGGAGACACGCUGCCACACUUUCACCCACCCACAAGCUCUUUUCAUUUCAACACUCACCUUCGAUUAUUACUCUUAGAUUCUUCAUCUCAACCCUCGAAAGCCCAAAUAAACAGUCAUUUGCAGCCUCUUAUCUCAUAAACAAAUUUGUGUUCUCUCCUGAAUCUGCUCUUUCAGCUUCUAAACAUCUCAGUUUUAAAACCCCAGAUAACCCUGACUCAGUGAUUCGCAUGUUCCAGCACUAUGGUCUCUCUCAAGACCAAAUCUUUAAACUCGUUAAAAAAUACCCACGAGUGCUUUCGUGCAAACCUGAGAAAACCCUUUUGCCGAAACUCAAGUUUUUUCACUCUAAAGGCAUGUCAGGCAAUGACAUUGCCCACAUUUUAUGUGCACAUCCUUGUAUUUUGAAUCGAAGCUUGGAAAACCAAAUAAUUCUUAAUUUCAACUUCCUUGGCAAUUUGCUUCAAUCUAAUGAAAAGACAAUUGCUGCUGUUAAAAGAUACUCGCCUAUUCUCUAUCAUAAAAUCGAUACAUAUUUGAAACCUUGUAUCGACAUUUUGGAAGAGUAUGGAGUCCCCAAAAGGCAUAUUGCUACAUUGGUUCACCGUUCUCCUAGGUCUGUCAUGAUGUCUCCGAAUCAUUUGAGAAGCAUCGCUGAGACGGUGAGAGAAAUGGGAUGUGAUCCUCUUAAGCCGCAUUUUGCUACGGCAGUGAUGGUGAUGGGUCUAUUGAGCAAAUCUGGGUGGGAAAGGAGGCUGGGUGUUUAUAAGAGUUGGGGUUGGUCCGAGGAAGACGUUCUUGCUGCUUUCAUAAAGGAGCCUUGGUGCAUGAUGACAUCGGAUGAUAAGAUUAUGGCAGUGAUGGAUUUUUUGGUUAAUAACAUGGAUUGUGAGCCUUCAUUUAUUGUGAAAAACCCCUAUCUUUUGAAGCCAGGCUUGAAGACAACAUUUAUACCAAGAGCUUCAGUUGCUCAGUUUUUGUUAUCGAAACAGUUGAUUAAAAGGAAGCCUAACUUGGUUACUCUGUUUUUGUGUUCUGAGAAGUUGUUCCUUGAGAAGUUCGUGAAUUGUUUUGAUGAAGCCCCACAGCUAUUGAAGCUGUAUAACAAAAGAAAUCAAAUCUUUCAAAAAUGAGAGGUAACGUAAUAGUUGAAAAUUGUUAAGAUCAUUGGUCCAUUUUGGUAUUCCUUCCUGUUGUUGUACUUGAUUUUAUUAGAUGCUUUCUUCCAAGCUGUACUCUGAUGCAUGGAAUGCAAUUUAAAUUUCCUUGUUAUCUGCAAUUUUGGCUUCUCUCUUCUUUAUUUUCUUGAUCGGAGGUCAAACAUUGCUUUGUUGUUUUGUAUGCAAUCUACUACUUUGUUUCACAUAGUUUGCACAUGUGAUUUCUGUUUGCCUGUCACAAAGCAAAAGGCAGCUAUUUCUAUUAUCUGGUGUUUUCUUAAGCCGGCAUAUGGGUCCAUUUAAUGAUGAGGUCAUCUUCCUCUUCCACUUAGAAUGCUGAAGUUAUGUUGGAACAGCGAAAUUUGAUGGUUGGAAGGGACAACCGAGUCACUUUACAUUGAAGUUUUAUUUAAUAGGCUUGAAUGAUUGUAUGAUAGAUUCCAUAUGCUAGAGAUAGACCUAGGCUUCUGAAUCAAGAAUAGUGCAGGUUUGUUAAAUAUUCUGAUAUGGAAACACCUUACAACAUUUCAGUCGGUGGUUGAAUUCAUUGGUCCAUAUCUAAAACUCAACCUCACUGUUUUUAUUCCUUUCUUUUCAAAUAUAUCACCUAGUUUCAAAAUUUUAACUGGUUGUUACUGAAUUUAACAUGUUUGAAAAAUGAGACCUGGCAACUAUUUUCACAUUAAAAGCAUUAUAGCAAUUUCAAUAUGUACCUGCUGCAGUCUUCCUUUUGGAUGUUUAAAGUAUAGAUAAAUUGUCGUUGGCUGUUAUUGUGUGCACAGGCAGAUGGACAUGCGCAUUUUUGUAUUUCCAUCCUAUCAAUUUGCACCAGUCUCUACCACUUAAAUACUUGGAAUUUGUUCUGUUUUUCUUUUUGAUGGAAUGAGAAUCAGAUAUUCAGCUUUUCUCCAAAUUCGUGAAGAAAGAAAAGGGUGAGAGUUUUCACCGCUACAACCAUCUAGUCAUAGUUCUAUUUAUGAUAUGGCUGUAAUGAAAUUUUCCCUUUUUUUUUUCUUUCCAAAGAAUGUUUCUGUUUGGUUGAAUAUUGUUUGAAGGAGCAAGCAUAUAGAAAUUUAAUCUUAAUUUUUAAUGCCUCUUGUGCUCGUUGACUGUAUUCUUGCAGUAACCCAUGCUGAGGUUUCUUCGUCAUCAAUGGCUUGGCUUCAAGUUGAAACGUUGUAAAAGAAAAUCUAACUUGACGAGAUUUUCUAGCAUGUGUGCUUUUGAUGGUGAAUUCAAUUGUUAUAGCUGUUGAGCUAAGAGGUGAGACUUGUACCUAGGGCUUCGUUAGUACCAUUUCUGUUACCAAGUAGUUUGAUUGACGAGCUUCCCUAAUUGGUUGUUCUGUUUAAAUAUUUUUAGAAGCUCCUUGAGAAGUUUGUAAUUGUUUUGAUGAAGCUCGUCAGCUAUUCAAGCUAUAUAGAGAAAAAUUAGUCUUUCAAAUUGACAUGGAAAUCUAAUAGUUGAAAACUUUUCAGUUUACGACUCCAUGAUGGUUUAACUUCUUGUUGUGUUACUCCAUUUUGUUGGAUACAAGAACAUACCAUGAUUCUGUAAUGCAGCUCCAAGGGCAAAUCAAUCUAAAUUUCUGCGUUAUCUGCCACCUUUUGGCUUCUAUCACCGUCAUUUCUCUAUUGAAGCUUGAGCUCGAUACUGCUGUGCUUGCUUGCUUGUUUGGUAUUCAACUCUACUACUUUGUUUCAUUUUGUUUCUGUUUUAAGUUUUAUUUUGUUGGCCCCACCGCAAAAAGAAGUGGUUUCCACUCUGGUAUUUUCCGGAGAAGGUUAAAUGAUGAUAUCAGCUUCCUUUUCUACUAAGAAUGCUGAAGUUAUGUUACAAUAUUUGAACUUGGAAGGUAGGGUCAAUGUAUGUUGAAAGUUGAUUAACUAGGCAUGAAUCAUUGCAUGAUUGGAAUUGUAUACCUUAUGCUGGAACCAAGAAGUCCGAAACUAGCAUAGCGCAGACAUAGGUUCAACCCCAUGAAAUGGAAGCACCUAAUAACAUUGACCUCAGUUGAAUUCGUCGGUUAAUAUAAAAAACGUGAUCUCACUGUUGUGUUUUUCCUUGGAUCACCUAGUCUGAGAAUUGCUAUUUGUUCCUGCCUUUUUAACUUUAAUGAACAUGAUGAGCUCAGCCAGCCAAUAGUUCUAUCCUGCUCUGUUGAGGAUUGAGGAUACAAGAUUUUGAUCCCAAUUUUAGCAUCCUCAUGCUCUCAUUGAUUGUGCUGUUUGUUGGCAACAAAGCUUUAGAGAGUUUUGCUCAUCAUUGAUAGCUACACUUUAGAGUGUAAAGAAAGAAUUAACCAAUAUGAAUCUUUUCUCGUAUGUGUGCUUGGAUAUGGAUGGUGAAUUGAACAGGUAUGUGUGCUGAAUAACACCUCCAUAUUUACGUUGUCUCAAGUAAAAAUCUUCAUUUUAUCAUAGGAGAAGCUACUCAGAGCUUGGGAUUUAUGAUUGUACAGGUUUGUUUUUGCUUUUCAAAAAUAUUUUUAUUUGAAUCUUGGCUUUUCGAAUCUUGGCUUGGAAUAUGGAUGGUGAAUUGAAGAGGUAUGUGUGCUGAAUAACACCUCCAUAUUUACGUUGUCUCAAGUAAAAAUCUUCAUUUUAUCAUUGGAGAAGCAACUCAGAGCUUGGGAUUUAUGACUAUAGGACAUGUUUGUUUUUGUGCAAAAAAAAAUUGAAUUUUUUUUAUUAUGUUUUUUUUAAUUAAUAUUUUUUUAGUGUUUUUAAAUUAUUUUAAUGUGUUUAAAAAAUAUUAUUUUAAUAUAUUUUUAUAUAAAAAACAUUUUAAAAAAUAAUUAUAAUCAGCUCACUUAUAUUAUUCUAUUACUGCUACAAAGGGAUCCAUGGAUUCCAUCUAUGCUACCUUUGUGCUCGUAGGGAUACAUAUAGGCUCCAUUUAAUUUGGUAUUUUUGCAGCAGAUUAAAAUAUACUUUUUAAAUAAAUCAAAAUAAAAAUUUAUUAAAAAAACACUAUUACAUUUCAGAGUUAACUGUGAGAUGGUGAACAUUAGGAGGUAUAGACAAUAAACUAAUAUAAUAUUAUCUAAUUUUAUUUUUUGGUCCAAAUAUCAUAUUCUCUCUUUCCCUUUAUGCCAAAAAUCAUUUGAAAGAGUUAAAUUUUUCAAUAUAACUAUUUUAAUACUGUAACUUAGCCUUUUUUCUUAUGGGGCACUCCAAUGAAAAUUAAUAUUUUAACAAAUCUUUUUGUAUGAGAAAAGAAAAAAAAAAUAGUUUAAAGUGAAAAAAACAGUUAAAAUUUCUCUUUUAUUUUAUGACUUUUUCUCCAAAAACAUAUAAGAGAAAAAUGAUUUUGGUUUUUUAUAUUUUUAUUUAGAAAUAUAUUAAAAUAAUAUCAACGCAUCAAAAUAAUUUAAAAACACCAAAAAAUAUUAAUUUAAAGCAAAUAAAAAAAUAAAAAAUUUUUAAAUUUUUUUAAAAACGUAAAAAUAUACUCUAAUAAUUGCGGCAGCUCCACCGUAAAACUAUCCGGCAUUGGCUGUAUAUGUGAAUAAAAGGACCAAAAUACAACAAUAGGUAAAAGGAAUGGACCAAAAACCAGAAAAACUAAAAAUUAGUCAUUACGGUAUUAUAUAGAAAAACUGUUCACAUUUCACAGCUUUUGUGAAGAAAAAGAUAGGGAAGAAAUGCACAUCAACACCAAGAAAAAUCCAAAAUUCCGUCUACACUACACAUAAAUACAAAUCUCUCUCUCUCUCUCUCUCCCCCUUAUCUCCUCUUUGGCUUGCUCCUCUGCUAGGGUUUUUCCUUUUUCCUUUAAUGUAUCCACUCUAUUUUUUUAAUAAACAAAGCAGUGGUAGGUAAAGAUUAGUACUGGUAGAGAAGAGAGGGAGAGGGUGAGAUGGCGUCGAAUCCUGCAAAUCUAUGGGUGUUGUUAGGACUAGGACUAGCUGGUAUUUUUUUAUUCACUAAAAAGUUUAAGAAAGUUCUCAGAGAAGAUUUUGGCGCUUUUAUCCACAAGCUUCAGUUGCUUCCUCCGCCGCAGCCUGCUCCUCCUAAAGCUCCUCAUCCUCUCACCGGCCUCACCUUCGCCGUCUCCGACUUGUAUGUCCCUUCACUUCCUUUCAUUAAUUAUUUUUGUUUGAAUCAGUUAUUGGAGAGUAACUGAAAUAAACUUUAUUUGGCGAUUAGUCUUGAGUUCAAUAUUCUUUUUAGGGUUUUAACUUUGUGGUUUUUAAUUUUUCAAUUUACAUUUUUUUUCUGGGUGAAUGGCUAAUAUAUUGGGAUUGUCAGAUUUGAUAUUGAAGGAUAUGUGACUGGAUUUGGUCAUCCAGACUGGGCAAAGACACACGAGGCGGCUUCUCGAACAUCUGUUGUCGUUUCGACUCUUGUUGAAGGAGGUGCUACUUGUGUCGGUAAAACUGUUAUUGAUGAGCUUGCUUAUAGGUGUGUUAUUGUUCGUUUCAAAUUUCUACAGAUUGCAAACUUAGGGCAUACUAUGAGUUUAUGCUUUCUUUUGUAUGAUGAUGAUGAUGAUGAUGUUUGCUUUGCGUGCUGUUUGUUUUCAGUAUCACUGGAGAAAACAAGCAUUAUGGUACACCUACCAAUCCUGUUGAGCCUGCACGAGUACCAGGUGGAUCCAGUAGUGGCGCUGCUGUGGCUGUAGCUGCUAAUCUGGUUGACUUCUCUUUGGGUGAGCUUCUUAUUAUCUUUCCUGCGACUUCUUUUCUGUUUAGAUCACCAGGCAAUCUUCGUUGAUCAUGGGGUUGAGUUCAGAAACUUUUGAAUUGCUUUCAUGCAAAUGUUUUAUGUGAAACCUUUGUAUAUGCUUGGGUUGCUCUCCUUUUAUUUCCAAACUAUCAUUAGUGUGAAUGUCCUUUGGACCGCAAGGCAAUCACAAUUGUCAUAAAUUUGAAAUCCCAAACAUUGUCUUAUGAGCAGGUUGCGUGAUUGUAUAUCAAACAAUCUUGGUUUUCAUUCAUUUGAUUUUGGUCACUGCUGUUGUUAUGAUUAAGUUGGGUCAUUGAUGAAUACUGGUUAGCAUGAAGCUCUCUAACAUAUUUUAACAGUUUGUAAAUUGGUUUGUUCUUUUGUUGUUUUUUAUUUUUCUUUUCUUAACUUUCCAUAAAGUUUUAUUUUUCUAUUUGCGGCAUAAAACUUUCUUAUAUCAGUCACUGAGACAAAUCUUAUUAAUUGAAUAUUUCGUAAUGGAGUUAUUUUUUUUAUAUAUACUUAUAUAAAGUACAUUUUAAAUUUGCAGUGAUUAUAAUUUAAUUCUUACAGAAACCAAAUAUAUUUUACUGUGAUUUAAUUGAAGAUGAUUUACAUGUAGCGCAAGUUAUAUGGUUCCUCAAAUAGAAAUGGAAUAUGAUAUUAAACUAUUCUAUAAAUGGAAUGCAUGAUUUGCAUGAUACCUUUUUUGGGAAAAUUUUAUAGUGCACAAAGAGUUACUAGUGAUAUCCUAUUAGUUACUAUCCAGGGCCUACUUUUUAGAAAGAGACAAACACAAAUAGGAAAGAGAAAAAAUCCAUUACCCACCAAAAGUCAUAAGAAUAUCUUUACCUAGGAUUUCUCUCUCCUUACUUGUAUCUAUCUAUUUCUUGAAAAUGGACUCCAGGAAGUAACUAAUAGGAUGCCACUAGUUUCUUCCCGAGCACCAUAAAAUUUCGACUUUGUUUGACGGUAUUUAUUCAUGUAAUAUAGGAUACUGUUGUUCAGGUCAUUCUGCUGUUAAAUUUCUUUAGAUUAUGCAAGCUUGUUGUGAACUUUUGGCAUUUCCAGACCACUCCUUAAUAAAAUUUUAGCUUUCUGGACAUUAAUUUAACCUCUAUAAAACACAUGCAAAUUUUGGAAUGUGCAUUUGAUACAGAUAUUUUUAUGGCAGGUGUUGAUACUGUUGGUGGUGUGAGAGUACCUGCUGGAUUUUGUGGUAUCAUAGGAUUUCGACCCUCAUAUGGAGCUAUUUCAAAGAUAGGAGUUUUACCUGUUUCAGUCAGUCUUGACACUGUUGGUAUGUAAGGGUCACAUUUUGGAAAUUAUCUUGUUUAUGAUUCUCUUAUUGAUUUUGGUACACGUCAAGUAAAGGAAAUAAUGUUGUUGACGACCUCCAUUUUUCUGUAUUGCAAUUGUUGAAUGUCCAUUGUUGGUCUCUAUUUCAAAUUGAUAUAGGUUUUUCUGAUUGAGCAUUUUUCUCUCAUAUUACUUUCAAGUAGAAAUAUGAUUGAUGUGUGUGUGUUUCAACUUGCUCCACAUGUUUUUUAACUAAAAAAAUAUAGUUGGAACACAAUAUGAUUUAGCUCUAUUUUGCACAGAUCUUAGUUUUACCUUUUCAAGAAAAGAACCAAUCAUGCAAAUGUUUAAGCUAGGAUUGAUCAUAUAAUUACUUAUUGUGUAAUUUUACUUGGUGAUGACUGAUAUCAAUUCUCUUGAAUGCGAACUCUGAAGUUUAGUCUUUUCGUUGCACAUUUAUUUAACAUGCUAAAGCUCUAAACUUUGUAGUGCCCUGUACUACUGACCAGUUAUGACAUUUCAUUGUUUGUUGCUUGAGGCAAGCAAACUUCAACUUAAUCCAAGUUUUUGGAACGUCCUAAGAGCUGGUUUUGUUGGCUUAAUAAGCUCCUUGAACUAGAUCAAAAUAAAAAUAAAAAUCUAUCAAAACCUUGCUCUGAAGUUGAAUUUGCUUCUUUAUUUUUCACACCACUUUAUAUGUAAUUUAUUUUGCUUUGAGCAUGUGUGUAACAUCAUCUUUGAAUUAGAGGUCAUUUUAUUCUCUUGUCUAGCCAUUGAUUGACUAUUACUUUGUAUUGAUGAGAUUCCUUUUGAUGCUCUCUGGUUGCCUCAUCAAUACUAAAUUUUGAUCAACUUCUGAAACAACUCCUGCAGGUUGGUUUGCUAAGGAUCCUAAUAUUCUGCGACGUGUUGGACAUGUUCUUCUUCAAUCUGCUUUUGGAGGUCAACGUAGUCCUAGGCAAAUUAUAAUGGCAGAUGAUUGUUUUCAAUUACUAAAGAUUCCUGUUGAUAGAAUUGCCCAGGUGGUGGUUAAGUCAACUGAAAAGCAUUUCGGAAGUAUGUCAUGAUCUUCUGAACUAGAGUUGUAAAUUUUUUCCUUUGUUAUAUUUCACAAAUAUUUGCUCUUCUCUAGUGGAGUUUGUUUCUGAAUUAUACCUCGACACACUUCUGCAGGACAAUUAUUGAAGCAUGAAAUUCUUGAUGUGUAUCUGAAUUCUAAAGUUCCAAGCCUGAAAGAGUUCCACAACAAAAAAACAAAUGGUGAAGUUAAAACUUCUUCAAUAAGAUUGCUUGCGAAUGUCAUGCAGCUUCUUCAUAGGUAAGUCUUUCAGAUAAUCAAGUAUGAAUAUAUGACUGAUUUUUUUGUGGAAAAGCUGAGAAUGGGAUAUACAGUUGUAGUCAAAAUUUCCUUUGAAGGCACGAUGACAGUUUAUCCACUGCUUGUAAUUGUACCACCAUAGAACUUUGUUCUUUUUUCCACUUUUUGUGAUAUGAUUGGAAAACCAAUAUCUAAAUUAGUUUUUGAUUAGCUUUCAUCUGUUUUUUUGGUCGCUUGGGAUGGAGGUAUCAUUAUCGAUCAUAUUUAGGCAUAUGGAGGUGGUUCGAUAUAGAUCAUUUAUGUGUACAGUCCAUGCGAGAAAUUUAUAGUGUUCAAACAUCAAUGUCAGUUUUGAAACUUUAACCUUUUUCUGACAGUCAUCUCCAAAGACAUAAAUCAAUAUGUUCAUAUUGGGGUUUGUAGUUAAUGAGAAAUUUUAUCAAUAAAAAAAGAAAAUCUGAGAGAGAGAGAUUAUCAGAUGAUUGGGCUAGAUCUCUCAACUUCUUGUGUAGGAAAAAAAUGGGAUUUCAACCAGCAGUUGCUUAUGGCUUAUAAAAUAUAUUUAUAGUUUCUAAUCAGGUGUAGUAGUUAGAAACUGUUUCUUACCUUCAAAUUAUGACCAAUACACUGAAUAUACUGUUAUUAGAAGUCUCAUGAUCUGUUAAAGUUACAACGGACAAACCAAAUAAUUAUUUCCUUUGCAUUUUGGACUAGACCUGGGUGCUCUUUGACUUAAUUAUAUGUGUUAUUUAACUUGUGGAGGAGGAUAGAAUUCUGUGAUGUUCACUCUCUUGAUGAGCAUGAGUAUGGUGUAUGACGUGAAAUUUGGAUGCUUCUUCACUUUGUUGUACCUUUUAUUUUGAUAUUCUCUAGACAAUAUGAAUCUUGUCUCUAUCUUGUAAUAGAUAUGAGUUCAGAAGCAAUCACGAGGAAUGGAUUAACACAGUAAAGCCAAUUCUUGAGCCCAAUUUGUCAGCUCAGAUGAAUGAAAUAAUGGAGCUGUCAGAUGCAGAGAUUGAACUCUGCAAGUCUAUUAGAGAAGAAAUGCGUUCGGCUAUCAACUCUCUAUUGAAGGUAUUUUUUUUUUCUUAAAUGAAGACCUUUGAAUUUGAAUAUCACAAGUCAUCAAUAGUUUAUAUAAACAAAAAUAUCAUUUGUUGAAAACUAAAAGAGAUGCUUUGUUAAUUAAAAGCUGACAUUGGCUUAAUGUCUAUCUUAUAUACUGGAAUUGAUUUUUCUUCGCUUAAGCUUUGAUCAACUCCUAAUGGAUGCAUUAAUGAAUACAGCUAAAAGAAAAGAGUGGUUGUUUAGAUUUGUAAUACAAUGCCCAGCUUUUGUCUUAUGUUUUCCGCCCAAAUAAAGAAAAAUGAGUCUUGGGAAAAAAGAACAGAUUUGAAACAAUUAAAAAAACAAUAAUAAUUGGUUGAACAGCAUGUAUGAGAUCAUUAUUUUUAUUUCAAUUCAUCAUCCUUUAAUGCUCUCCUUUACUCUGUUUUUAUAUACUAGGUUGACGAGAGGAUUGUUACAGUGCAUACAGUCCCUUAUAUCUAACUUUGGCUUUUAUUUUUUUCUCAUUACACAUCAAUGUUAGUUCUGAAAUGCAAGGAUCUUGUAUCCUUCAAUUCUAUGACCGGGCUUUAGGUGUAUAUGGUUAUGCCCAUUUUAGUUAGUUGCUGGAGUCAUUAUAUCCUUGUCCCAGUUUAUUUUUUAUUUUUAUUUUUUAACUGUAUAACCUUCUGUCUUUCAGUGGGUUUCUUCUUCUAGAACUUCAUUAACUUUUUUUCAUUUUAUGAAUAUGUAGGAGCACUUGGAAAAGAAAACACAUUGCACUUCCAUUUUAAUUUGUGUAAUUGGUUUGAGUUAGGGUCUUGGAACUUGAAUUAACAUUUCUGUUUGUUUUUCCAAAUAGUGCAACCUUCUUGAUUAUCUAAUUUUGAUUUGUUUAUUCAUAAUGGUUAUAUUGAUUAUGCCUCUUAAACACCUUUAUUUUUUGUUCUUUUGGUUUCUGUGGCUUUCCAGGAUGAUGGGAUUCUGGUGGUCCCUACAACUGCUUAUCUUCCUCCAAAACUUGGCGGGAAGGAGAUUUUAUCAGAAGAAUAUCAGAGCUCUUCAUUUGGUCUUUUGAGUAUUGCUAGCCUAUCAGGUUGCUGUCAGGUGAAUCUCUCUCUCUCUCUCUCUCUCUCUCUCUCUCUCUCUCACACACACACACACACACACACACACACACACACACAGAGACAUGCAUGUGCAAAUGGCAAUAAGACGCUGCACUGAAUUCCUGUUUCCUCUUAUAACAGCAAAGUUUUGUUAUUUAACUUUAUUUAUUUGUUUUUUUAUAUGUUUCAGGUCACUGUACCAUUAGGAUAUUAUAACAAGUGUCCUGUCUCUGUGUCCUUGAUAGCCAGACAUGGCAGUGAUCGCUUUUUACUAGAUACAGUGCAGACCAUGUAUAAAACUUUACAAGAACAAGCUGAGACAUAUGUGAAUUCCAAAUCGAGUAACAAAGACAGUCGGGAAAAUUCUGCUGAGAUGGCUAAAGAAAAGGUAGAUUAUGCAUUCUUAAUGUGUCUUACAUGUCAAAACUGUAACAUGUCCAGUGACAGAUUUUGGAUUGAAUUUGAUUGCACUUGGCAUGUUGAUCUUGAUCAUUUAUUUGUUGACUUUAAUGCUUGCUUUAAAUCGAUUUCCAUAUGCACCUCAGAAGUUGACUGAGGGUCAAAAGUUAGAACUGAGCCUUGGAUUUAGCUGUACUAAUAGAUUCACUGUCGUAAUUAAAAUGUUGUUCACAGUGCACCUUUGCAUGACGAACUGUUCUAGAUAAUCAAAUGGAAUUUAAUCUUGGAUCCAGCGCCCAUCUUGUUUCAAUAUUAAGAGUGUGUGUGUGUGUAUAGUGAAUUUAACUUUUUUUCAUUUUCAGCUUGUGGUUCUCUCCCUCUCUUCAAAAGAGGAAAAGGAAGUCCACUGAAUUUUUCUGAAUUUAUUUGCUAAUUCUAUUUCAUGUUGUUGAUGAUACUGCUUAUUCAAUGGUUUACGUGAUGAAUUUGAAAAGUUUUAUGUUCUUUUCUUUUUAGAUAUCUCAGCCAGUUGGAUGUGCACUUGUAGUGGUGAUAGCAUGGCUACUACAAUUUUUUGUAAUCAUUAAACUGUUUAUAUCUUUCUGAGAAAAUUGGCUUCUUGGUUGUAGCUCUUUGCACCCUUUUUCAAUUGGUGUUUAAAAAAUUAAAUAAGUAAAUGAAAAAAUAUUUCAAGGAAGAUGCAUAAGAGAAGAUCACAGACACAGACCAGCAACACCUGAACAGAAGCUUGGUGAUGCUGCCAAUGAUCAAUGGAUGUUUUUUUUUUUUUAUAAAAUUUGAUCACCUUCUAUAAAUGUGCAUUUUCAUUUCAACUUAUCUUGGACUACAUGAGAGGGAAGACUUGUGAUUCUCAUAGUUUGGAAAAUAUGUUAGUAGUCAUCUUUAUGACUUAAUUCAGUGUCUGGUUUCAUGCAAAAGAUUAAGUAGUUUCAUAUUGUUUUACUACCCCAUAUAUACUUUACAAUUGUUCUGUGCUAUAUUAGUUAAUGGGUCUUUAUUGAGCCUGAACUUCUU